This 69935-nucleotide long non-coding RNA is filed under the name Triticum aestivum (bread wheat). RNAcentral describes it as "long non-coding RNA (TAES_LNC018998)". Lineage: Eukaryota; Viridiplantae; Streptophyta; Magnoliopsida; Poales; Poaceae. The record is from RNAcentral.
AUUCCCCGACCUUAGCCCCCAGCCUAUGCUGGGUGUAGUUCGGAGGCGAAGCUUUCGUAAUGGAGAGAGAUUGCAUUAAGCCUAGAGCUUCGUCUAAAAGCGAAAGCUGAAUGGGCUUCUGCGGAUCCGCGAGGCCGGGCACGUGAUUGAAGCCGGUGGGGUGCAGACCUUAGUUAUUUAGAGUUGUCCUCAAGAGGCGAGUCUGGCUCUCCGAUGUCCGUGGGAGUACCGUUUGAUUCCNNNNNNNNNNNNNNNNNNNNNNNNNNNNNNNNNNNNNNNNNNNNNNNNNNNNNNNNNNNNNNNNNNNNNNNNNNNNNNNNNNNNNNNNNNNNNNNNNNNNUUUAGCUUGUUACCUCAGCUACGAUCUUGUGCCCUCGGCAGGAUCUAGUAGAUAGUCAGGCUUCUUAGCCUUUUUCAUUUGUAGAUGUCUGUACUCAGACAUGUUAAGCUUCCGCAUGUGCUUUGCAUUGUAUGCUAUGACUGUUGGGUCAUGAGACCCAUGUUUGUAAUAUCUCGCUCCACGGAGCCUAAUAAAUAAAUACUUUGAGUCACAGAGUCUUGUUGUGAUGCCAUGUUGUAUUUGCACAUAUCGAGCAUAUUGUGUGUAUGAUUGAAAUGCUUGGUAUGUGUGGGAUCCGACAAUAUAGUUGUUUAUCCUUGGCAGCCUCUCUUAUGGGGAAAUGUAGUCAAGUGCUUCCGUGAGCCAUAGUAGUCCGCUACAGCCUGGUUCACCGGAGUCCUGCUAGCCCAGCACUACUGCUCAGGACGCUUGACUGGCCGGCAUGUAUUUCACUUCAUUCUUGUGUCUGUCCCUUCGGGGAAAUGUCACGCGGUGACUCCGGAGUCCUGCCUAGCCUGCUACAGCCCGGGUUCUCGGAGUCCUGUUAGCCCAGUGCUACAGCCCGGAUUCACACGCUGCUGACCGACAUGCUCGAGGUUGAUUCAUGUAUGCCUGUCCCCACGGGUUAGUGCCGCUUUGGGUUCACGACUAGCCAUGUCGGCCCGGGUUCUCUGUCAUAUGGAUGCUAGCAACACUAUCAUAUACAUGAGCCAAAAGGCGCAAACGGUCCCGGGCCAUGGUAAGGCGACACCCGUGGGAAUACCGUGCGUGAGGCCGCAAAGUGAUAUGAGGUGUUACCGGCUAGAUCGAUGUGACUUGGUAUCGGGGUCCUGGCAGCUUUGGUAUCAGAGCCUGACUACCUGUACGAUUACCAAGCCAAACUGGUCGAAGUCGAGUCUAGAAAUGCUUUAGUUAUGUAAGGGAAUUGAUUGUGGAAGGGAACGUAAGGCUCUUUUUACUCCUUAUAUCAUCAUGACCUUCUGAUCUGAGUCAUCUUAUCCUUUCUACAGGGAUUAAGAACUAGGCUUCUCUUCUAUCUCUGAGGAUGAUGUGUUACUAAACCGUAGUUGCCCAGGAUUGUUGAGUUCAAGCCUCAGUUCAGUUCCUACUACUUCUGUAUGUUGACCCUUGAUCCCGGAACUUUGAUAUUGUGAUGUUGAGUGGUUAUGCCACCGUUUUGCAGGAUGUCUCAAAUCUUUUCGAGCAUUUACAGCCAUUAUGCUGUCCGAGUCAUCCGAGGUUUCUAAACAAUCUGAUGCAUUUGCAAAUCCCUUCUUUCCAUUCCGAUGUCUCUUUGGGCCAGUUUAACCACACUAAUCGGUGAGUUGAGGUACUUUGUUGCCUCGACAUAUAUGUUGGAGCUAGUAUUAUGACCCUAGGUGUCUUAGAGGAUCACCUAGUAAAUCUGGCCAUGUUUUGUGUUCCCAGUGUGAUGAAUCUGGCCGUCAUUCUCGAAAGCAUCCCAUGAUGCCAUUUAGUAGUAGGUAUUCUACUCUUGGGUUCCUGACCCAAGAUUCACUCCACUUACCUUCUGUUGAUAGUGUUUGCUAGUUCCUUUAGAAUAUUAGUAACCUUUGCGAUAGUCCUCGAGGCCCGUGGUAUUUCCUUCUUCCAAAUACCAUGAACUACUUAUGGCAGAAGUUCUUUUGAACUAAAAGAUCACAACUAGAGUGAUCUUGAUGGGUUGUCCAUUCUAUAUUGUGGAUCUGCCAGUUCUACCUUUCUGCAUGGGUUAUCCGAAAGAAAUAUGUUGAACUCGUUCGACAUACUAAUCUAUGCAUCCACAACUCAGAAAGUUAUAUGUUCCUUGAGUUGUCCCCCUCUUCAGUUAUAUUCCGACCUUCAUCUAUCAAUUGAUAGUAAGGAGUAUUUGGCAAUCGUGUUUAUCAAUGCCUAUUACUCUAGUGGUCCGUCAAGUCAUUUUAUUUCAGAAUGACUAGGAGAAACAAACUCCAGUACCUGGUCCAUGUCUAGGAUUGGGUUAAAGCAAUUGUACUUCGCAGAUCAAAAUGCCAAUCCAGCUUUUGUUCUAUUCUACCUCGGAGUAUUACCCCCUUUAUGUCAUGAUUGUCAUGAGAAUUGCACCAUCUCUCAUGAAUUUUGAACGCAGUGAUACUUCUCGCCAUCAUUCUUCAUUCCUCAGUCUCCGUGUUGUUGUGACCGGAAUGCCGACAAGUGAACCGCGAUGUGUGAGAUCAAUACUCCUAGCAACCCAGUUGCUUGGUAGUUAAUGGACAAUAAGUUCAUUCUUAGCGUGUUGGUUAUUCAAUCAUCAUUCUAAGAUUAAUCAUGCUACCUAGUCCAUAUUUCCGGUGCACUCUUCGAUCAAUGAGUUAGGAUUAUUCAAUCCCUUACUCUUCUGAUCAUGUCGUCUUGCCUUGAAAAGCAAGAUUGUUCUCGAGCUUAGAGACAUAUCAGUGGCUCGUGAUUUUCCGGAUAUCUUCAUGGGAGUAUCACCAGGUCGUCACCUGACCGCUAUGUUGAGUUCAUGAUCAUGUGGGUUUUCCUCCAAACCACCCAUUCUCCAAGAAUCUGUGAUGGAUACCCUGAGCUAGUUUGGUAAGCUAAACAACAACUUGGAGAGUUGGAAGAUAAAAGCUUGUCCGACUUAGUUCAUCAUUAAGGGAUAUUCUUGGGUAGUGUGUGUUGAAGAAAGAUGAUAUCUUCAUCGAUUGGUCCCUGUGAUCAGUUGUUAGUUCUAUUGCCUUGUCAAAACUUUGACUUGAGUAUGGGCUAUCGUCAAGUCAAAUCAGAACCAACGAUGUUCGUAAUGUUGUCUUACUCGUGGUUGAUCCCUCGAGCAUACACCAUUACAUCUUUUGGUCUGACCAAUGCUAUCACCGUGUUCACAUGAAGGUGGAAGUCCAGUGAUAUGGAAAUACCGAUGAGUUGUUGUUGAGCCCAUCAGCAGCAUUUGUCUCCUCCAUGAUUCAUGUUGGACGUUGCGCUAGUGUUGGAAACUUGGUAAGCCUCGUGCCCCGUUCAUGAAGUAUAUGUUUGGAUGAAAGUAGUGACUUCCUCUAGAUUCAUGUGCAAUUGAUGCAAGUUGCCGCCGUGAAUUCGAGGGAGCUUGUUUUUUUGCUUCCUUUGGAAUCAUCUCAAGCCAGUCAUGCAUUCGUGCGAAGUAUUAUAUGGUUUGGUAGAUUAAUUACCUCCACUCCAUAGGUGUUCCUAGCACACCAAGCCACUGACUGAUUUGCACAAGGAAAAGGAGUCUGUUGUAUUAAUUCUAGAUCAUGCGCAAGACUUCGAUAUCCUCGAUGAUGGUUCGCAGCCAGAACUCGGUAGUGUUUUGUUGUAAGACUACUAUGUGGUCAUGCUUGUCUGGGAUAACGUGUUCACAUGUACGUAGCAAAACCAGCUGAUGUUUUGGAGCUUGCUAUCGUAGUUCAUCUCCCGAGAAUCUCACAACGUCAUCUCGUCGAUUUGUGUUGCAAACUUUCUUUUCCAGACAUGUUGUUUGAAUUAUCCUGUUACCAACCAGAUCUAAAUCUCAGGCAGAUGUGAUGGUUGGAACCUCUUCCAAGAACUAUGAUAUAGGUUCCAGUGAAGUGGACACACCUAGCUGGAAGCACUAUUAUUGUAGUAUCUUGAGUCAGCAAUUUGGCCACCCUUCCAUGAGGAGCUGGUAUGACUUAGAGCAUAAGUUGUUCCUUAUGGGUUCUUUGAGUUUCCGAAGUCAGACCUUUAUUUGAUGUUCCAGAUACCGAAUGGUAUUGUGUUAAGCUGGUACAUGAAGGAGANNNNNNNNNNNNNNNNNNNNNNNNNNNNNNNNNNNNNNNNNNNNNNNNNNNNNNNNNNNNNNNNNNNNNNNNNNNNNNNNNNNNNNNNNNNNNNNNNNNNCAGCCAUUGGUGAGCUUGUCCACGCGAGGUAGGACACAGGGGCCAAGCGGGUGCUGGACUUGCUGCUCCAUCUCCUCCAGCGAAGAGAGCUCGUCGGGGAUGGCCGCUUCGAGGAGGGCGUCCUGUACACCACUGGAUGGGUGGAGAAGGCAAUAGGCAUUAGUAGCACAGAAAUCAACCCUAAUAAAUAGUUCAUAUUUGACAACACAAGCAGCCUUUCCAAUAUGAUGAUUCUCAAGAAAGAGAAAAACAUUAUCCAAGAAAUCAAGAAACAAAAGUGAAAUGCUAGAUAGCAGCAUAACCAUUCAUUCAGGGAACAUAAGAGGUGGCAAAAGCAGCAGCAGGUAAUCCUUAUAACUAGAGGCUAAGCAUCCAGAGUUGGCUAUAGUUAGCUACUUCAUAGCAACUAACACCGGCCAAUAAAAAGUAGCACAAGUACUAGAUACCUAUGAGGGUGUGAACUUGGUGCCAAUCAGUUGGCCAACCUUGUGGAUAUGGAGAUCUUGUUUGUACCAGUACAAUUAGCAAGCAGUUGUCUAUUAUCGAAGCCAUUUCAUUUGCAACGGUAUCAUAAUAAAAAUGUAAUGUAAAAUCCUGGUGUUGUCACUAGCACUAUAGCAACAGUACUUAUCAGAAAUUACAUUAGCUUCUUAAAAAUGGAAAGGAGGAAUUGCAUCCUCAAUCAAGUAUGCUGGCAAUCAAGGCCGGUUAUGAGAUCUCAGGGGCCCGAGGCGAACUAGAAAACAGGGCCCCAUACAAAGCAUGGCACCAAAACGAGUGAUUUAUAUCGACCAAAGGUGAUAUAUAUUGUUUUGAGGAGCUUUAUCGUGAACGAUAACAAGGUGUAAUCCAUUUGAAAAAAAGGUGUGAAGCUGAUAUAUGUACACAAUGUGAUUGAAAUUCAUGUAAAGAAGAACAGUGGUAUUAGAUCUUAUGGCGUUUCUAUUUUUUGUUGUUGGAAGUUAGACAGAUGGAAGACAAUAACUUAUCUUUUGCCAAAAUCAUUUUCCCUUAGUUCUGGUACAAGUUUGUAGUAUUUCUACAGGCACAAUCCGACAUUCUGACUUGGACCAAUCUAACAAAAUGAGAUUAAUGUUGGAAGCUGAUAUAAAUACAGUCAGAGGAUUGACCAUGGAUUUUCAGCAUGAAUUCAUCAUAAAAUUCGCCUAGCUAGAAUUAACAAGUCCUGACCCAAAUCAUACACAAAAUCAGCGGAAAAGAAAGCACAGCAGAACCCCAUGUUGUUACCUGGUUGUCAACCCAACAGAACCCCCAAUCAGCCAAUUAGGCAGAUAAGUAUGGCGCACCAAUUAGCUGGCUGUCGCAGAACCCUAUAGGCAGAUAAGCAUGGCGCAUCAGCAAUCAGUCGUACUGUUUGUUAAAAGAGUAUUUUGUCCAUGUGUAGAAGCAAAUAUAGAAACUGAUCUUGAUAAUAUUUGGCAUACCGCAUACCCAAUAACAGAUUAAGGUGCAUAUUUGAUAGCACAAGCAGCAAUUUUUCCCCAAAAUUAAAAAUAAGAUUACCAAGCUACAGACUAACCACAUCCAGCACAAGCAAUUUGUCCCAUCAAAUGUUUACUAACGGCAGUAUAGGCACAACAGCACAACCUUACCUAGCGCCAUGGCCAUUGUUCAGGGGCGGGGCAUGCUUAUGUUGUACUGGCGCUUCUCCUUGGAGUUUGAGGAUGAGGAGCAGCACACGCACUCGCCGCAGCUGUCGUCGAGCAGGACAAGCCACGGUGCCCACCCUCGUCCCGGACGGGCGGCUGCAGGUGCGCCGCGUCCAUGGAUCCUACGGGAUGAGGUCCUCCGUGCUGCCCUGCUCGAGGUGGACCAUCAGGAAGCGAGGGCGCGCGUGGGGGCGCUGUAGACGAUGGAGAAGAGGCGCCAUAGGCGGCCGUAGAAGGGCCGACGAUGAAGGCGAUGCCGGAUGCCGAAACCCUAGCACGGGAAGUGGUUUUGGGAAAGCAGUUGAGGUCGAGAGGGGGAAAUCUUGCCGGAGGGAAGGAUGGAUCCGAGCGAGGCGAGCUCGGUGGUGUGCUCCACCCCGGCAAUAUCCGCCGGAAUCGCCCGAAUCGGGAGCGGCGGCUGUGGCGGCUGAGGGAACGGAGGAGAGGAUGGGGGUUAGGGUUACAUGGGUGUGGACUUUGGAUUAAAUAGGCUGGCUCGAAAUUUUUGCCACCGCCCGCGUCAGCGACUUAAAAUUUUGCACGUCCACGCGCUCUCGAAACUUCUGGCGCGUCCGCUUUUUUAUUUUUAUAUAUGCAUAUAUACUGUUGACUACAUUCAACUGAAAUAUGGGCCAACCCACCAGCCACACACUACACAUCAGUAGGAGUCAUCGGUGACGGACUGGAUAAUGUAUAAAAAAUCGAAUGGCUUGACCGAGUAAGUUGAUUUGUGACCAUUUUCAUGACAGUCCAUCAUGUCCAUCAUAAAAGGGCUACCUUCUUAGGUGGGCAGUCACAUUCUAUUGAUCCACGACGGUUUCCAUGACGGAUAGUAGAAAACCGUCAUCACCGGUGACGAUUUCUGAGAACGUCAUCAGAAAUCCGUCACGUAUUAACAGGUUUCUUGUAGUGUUCGUGUUUGCCGGUGAUCUACAACUACAAGUGGCAUCAGAGCCUCGGUGGUGUUCGGUCCAUCCUGGGCGCCGACGGUGUUUGAUCCGUCGGAGAGAUGGUCGGAAGCGACGAGGAGAAGGAACAGAAGAAGCUAAAGGAGGAACAGGCCAAGGCGGAGGCCUCGGCACUUGGGAAGUCCCUAGCCCGUCUCUCCACCGAGCAGGGAUGGAGCCAGAAAAUGAAGAUAGGGGGGCAAGAACUCGAAGCACUAAAAUCAUAGUAGGAUACAUGAUCAUAUACCUAGUAAAUAAUGAAAGAUCUAGAUAGUAAAUAUAUGUCUGUUGUUCUAUAAUAAUAAAAAAUUCAUAUCUAUUACCCCGCAAAAAAAUUUGAGUUGGUGUUUAGUUGCAUUUCGUUUGCAUCAGCAUCAUGUUCACAUGGCAGCGAGCUGGAAACAAUUGGCUUAAAAAUAUGAAUUGAUUCAGCCCUUUCUCUUUGUGUCUACACAGAUACAAUCAGGCGUCUAUUGAACGAACGUUCAGACAAUAUCCAUCUCGCAGGAUAGAAUUUGUAUAAUCUGAUUUUGCUAGCGCGACGUGAAUGCGUGAUUACGAACACAUAUUGCUAGCACGCCAUUGGCAAAUACGCCUGCACACCAUAGCACGCGCCCUAGUAGAUUCCUUUGACAAUUAGACUAAUUAGAAUUUACUAGUUAGUUGUAAAUGUUUCCAGUUCUAUAAUUCCAUUUAUACAAUUUGAAGGCAUAGAUAAACUAAUCUAAUGCUGAAAGUAAACUAACCCCUUUUUCUUUUGGUUUGGUCACUCCCUGUGGCCAGCCGGCCGGCAGCGCGCUCGUGAUCAUGGAUCGGCGACACUACCGCUGCCUGUCCCCUCCCCUCAACGAAGAGAUUCGACUCAGGAUCUCAGGCGGCCGGCGGUACGCUCGAUCUCAGGCGGCAGGAGUAGUGGGGAGGUUGGAAACGAAGCGAUUAGAGGAGAUCUUAAUCAUGCGUACGUUUUUUUAGGGAUGAAACUAUGUUUUUUUUGAGGCAAACCAACAAAGCUUUAUUCACCCGUCACACAGUUUACAGGGACGAACAAAAGAUCCCCAGGGUGGCCUAACCAUACAUGGCGGCCAACCCCGAGCGUUAACGCAUGCUUUGCUAGUCUGUGAGCCUCNNNNNNNNNNNNNNNNNNNNNNNNNNNNNNNNNNNNNNNNNNNNNNNNNNNNNNNNNNNNNNNNNNNNNNNNNNNNNNNNNNNNNNNNNNNNNNNNNNNNUGGCAAGCCGACAGGAAAAGUGUUUCAUGCUAAACCGGUCACCGCUUCACGUGGCCAUGUCAACUGUAUCUCUGCCGAAGAAGCUCAAGAAGAUCCCAACGUCGUUCUCGGUACGCUUCUUGUUAAUUGCCACCCGGCAUCUGUUCUUUUCGAUACAGGAGCCUCUCAUUCUUUUAUAUCUGAAAAUUAUGCUCGUUUGCAUAACGUUGCAUUCUGUGACUUGCCAUCCUCCAUGGUAAUUCAAACUCCGGGAUCCAAAUGGCAAACUUCUAGAGUAAGCCAUGGAAAUGAAAUCCAAGUCGAUAGACUUGUUUUCCUCGCAUCUUUGAUAGCCCUUAAAUCUUCAGAUAUUAAUAUCAUUUUGGGUAUGGACUGGAUGUCAGCUCAUCAAGCCAAAAUUGAUUGCUUCUCUAGGACUGUUCAACUCACCCAUCCUUCGGGAAAGAUAGUCAAUGUCUUGACCCGAAUAGCCAAGCGACAAUUAUUUUCUCUUAACGCCAGCCCUUUGCCAGACCUUGAGGACGUUCCGGUAGUCCGUGACUUCCCGGAUGUCUUUCCAGAGGAAUUGCCAGGUAUUCCACCUGACAGGGAUGUUGAGUUCGUAAUAGAUCUCAUUCCAGGAACCGUUCCGAUUGCUAGAAGACCUUAUAAGAUGGCACCCCUAGAACUAGCCGAGCUUAAGAAACAACUCGAUGAAUCCUUGAAAAAGGGUUUCAUCCGCCCUAGUUCAUCUCCGUGGGCUUGCCCCGUCCUAUUCGUUAAGAAAAAGGAUGGUACGGACCGGAUGGUUGUAGAUUACCGACCUGUCAAUUUGGUCACAAUCAAGAACAAAUACCCACUUCCCAGGAUCAACGAUCUGUAUGAUCAGCUCGCUGGAUCCUCAGUCUUCUCCAAGAUGGAUUUGAGGUUGGGCUACCAUCAAAUCAAAAUCAGAAACGGGGACAUUCCUAAAACGGCCUUUGUUACUCGUUAUGGCCAAUACGAGUACACCGUCAUGUCCUUCGGUCUAACCAACGCUCCAGCCACUUUUUCUCGGUUAAUGAACUCAAUCUUCAUGGAGUAUUUGGAUAAAUUCGUCGUGGUUUACCUCGAUGACAUACUCAUCUACUCCAAGAACGAGGAAGAACAUGCCGAACAUUUAAGGCUAGUGUUGAAGAAACUUCGAGAGCAUCGCCUUUAUGCCAAAUUCUCAAAAUGUGAAUUCUGGUUGUCAGAAGUGACCUAUCUGGGUCAUGUAAUAUCGGGUAAAGGUAUUGCUGUUAACCCUGAGCGAGUUCAAGCUAUCCUUGAUUGGACUCCACCUGAAUCGGUCAAGCAAGUUCGGAGUUUUCUAGGCUUAGCAAGCUAUUGCCGUCGCUUUGUCGAGAACUUCUCCAAAGUUGCUAAACCUCUAACCGAACUCCUCAAGAAAGAUAAGAAGUUCGAAUGGACUCCACAAUGUGAGCACAGCUUUCAGGAACUGAAAAGACGCCUGACCUCCGCUCCCGUACUGGUACCGCCAGACUUCUCCAAGGACUUUGUUAUCUACUGCGACGCCUCGCGACAAGGACUAGGUUGCAUUCUCAUGCAAGAUCGACACGUAAUUGCCUACGCUUCACGGCAGUUGCACCCACAUGAGGAGAAUUAUCCUACUCAUGAUCUAGAGCUUGCAGCCGUAGUCUAUGCACUUAAAACCUGGCGACAUUACCUCCUCGGUAAUCGUUGCGAAAUAUUCACUGAUCACCAAAGUCUGAAGUACAUCUUCACCCAACCGGAUCUGAAUCUCAGGCAAAGACGUUGGGUUGAAUUGAUCACAGACUUCGACUUAGGCAUAACCUACACCCCGGGGAAAGCCAACGUCAUGGCUGAUGCGCUAAGUCGUAAAUCUUAUUGUAACAACCUGAUGUUACAACAAAGUCAACCGCUUCUCCAUGAGGAAUUUCGGAAGCUUAACCUUCACAUUGUACCUCAAGGUUUUCUUUCCACCUUGGUAGCAAAACCUACUCUUACGGAUCAAAUCAUCGCUGCCCAAAAGCGAGAUAAGGGAAUAUCUAAAAUCAAAGAGAACAUUGCUAGCGGAGGUGCUAGUUGUUUCUCCACAAAUGAUCAUGGUGUUGUGUACUUUGAGGACCGUCUAGUGGUUCCCAAGAACCAGCAUCUACGGCAGUUGAUCCUUAAGGAGGCUCAUGAAUCUCCUCUCACCAUUCAUCCCGGUAGUACUAAGAUGUAUCAGGACCUACGCCAGAGGUUCUGGUGGACUAGGAUGAAGAGAGAAAUUGCUCAGUAUAUUGCCAAUUGCGACGUCUGUCGUCGUGUAAAGGCAGAGCAUCAACGGCCUGCUGGCACCCUUCAACCCUUAGCUAUUCCUGAAUGGAAAUGGGAUAAAAUUGGUAUGGAUUUCAUUACCGGUUUUCCUAGGACCAAAAGAGGGAAUAAUGCCAUUUUCGUUGUGGUCGAUCGUCUUUCCAAGGUAGCUCAUUUCCUACCUGUUCGUGAGAGUAUAACCGCUAGUCAGCUGGCAGACUUAUACAUCUCCCGAAUAGUGUCCCUCCAUGGUGUUCCUUUGGAAAUCAAUUCGGAUCGAGGAAGUCUUUUCACCUCUCGAUUUUGGGAAAGUUUCCAAAAUGCUAUGGGAACCCGUCUCUCCUUUAGCACCGCUUUCCACCCUCAGUCAAGUGGUCAAGUGGAACGCGUCAACCAAAUUCUAGAAGACAUGCUUCGAGCCUCUGUUAUCUCGUUCGGAAUGGACUGGGAGAAGUGCCUUCCAUUUGCCGAAUUCGCUUACAACAACAGCUAUCAAUCUAGCUUGGGUAAAGCCCCUUUUGAAGUUCUCUAUGGACGACGAUGUCGAACACCCCUUAACUGGUCAGAGACCGGGGAAAGACAAUUCUUUGGCCCGGAUAUGGUUCAGGAAGCAGAAGAACAAGUUCGUAUCGUUCGUGAAAAGUUGAAAACAGCCCAAUCCCGUCAAAAGAGUCAAUAUGACCGAAAACAUAAGGCUAUGACCUUCGAGGUUGACGAGAAGGCUUAUCUUCGGGUCACCCCUCUGAAGGGAACCCAUCGCUUCGGUAUCAAGGGCAAAUUGGCUCCUCGUUACAUUGGACCUUUUCGCAUUCUUGCCAAACGAGGAGAAGUUGCCUACCAAUUGGAACUACCUCCGCACCUCUCCAGAGUUCACGAUGUCUUCCACGUCUCUCAACUCAGGCGUUGCUUCUCGGAUCCUAUCCGUGAAGUGGACCACGAAACGCUUGAUCUCCAAGAUAAUCUUACAUAUCGAGAGUACCCCAUUCGUAUCCUCGAUCAGGCCGAGCGUACCACUCGACGUCAUAAUAUCAAGUUCCUCAAAGUUCAGUGGUCUCAUCAUUCUGAGGAUGAAGCAACUUGGGAAAGGGAGGAUCGUCUUCGACUCGAGUAUCCCGCCUUCUUCUCGGAGGAACCCAAAUCUCGGGACGAGAUUCUUUUGAGUGGGGGUGAGUUGUCACACCCUAGCUAGUCAUGCAUUAGAGUGUUGCAUCAUGUUUACUCUUUCAUCAGAAACUUGAAAUGGGGAUGACAGAACCCCCAGUCCCCUCUGAAACCAACUAGGGUUUACUAAAAUAAUUUUCAAUGAACCUGAAAUGCCCUUCUAAAAUGCCCAUCAUUUUUGUCUUGGUUCAGAACCUCUGCCAAAAGUGGUGCACAUUUUCCUAGGCCAUCCUAGGGUUUUGAAUUAAAUCAUAACUAUUUGAAUUUGGGCAUUUAAAAUAAUAUAAAAUAUUUAAAUGNNNNNNNNNNNNNNNNNNNNNNNNNNNNNNNNNNNNNNNNNNNNNNNNNNNNNNNNNNNNNNNNNNNNNNNNNNNNNNNNNNNNNNNNNNNNNNNNNNNNGGAGCCAGCUAAGAAGCCACCCCCUCAGGCUUCAUCUCCACUGCUAACUUUGAGCUUCCCAAGCCUGCGCGCUGCCCCUGACGCGGGUUCGGCUGGAGAGGUGGGCCGACCAGCAGUGUGCCUUGAGCCUGGGUCUUUGCCGCCUUUCCAUCGCGACCUUGCCCGGGACGUGAUCAGCUUGCCCUAGGCCCCUCCUCUGAUCGUGAACAGUGAAUGGUUGAAGUCGAUCUUCGGCUCUUCUUCUGGGGAUGGAUCUGCACUGGCCUGGGUCCCUUGCGGGGCCCAUCCAGCGAUUGUGGGGGCACCAGCCCCUAGCCCCCUGUCGAGAGGGGGCGAACCACUUCAGGGCCCUCCGCCAACACCGGCGGCGGAGGACGAUAUCGACGACAUGCUCAAGCGUGUGUGGGAGUGCAGCGCCAUCCGCUAAGAGUUUCUCCGGAAGGCGACAGACGCGAUGGGCCAGCUCGGUGGAGAGCUCGCGGACGUGGACGCGUGUCUUGAAGCCGAAGGCCUGCGGCUGGUUGAGGAGCGGUGCAAGCUAAAGGUGGGAGUCAUCCUUGCGUGUCAUCAGCGUGAUCUUGAAAACACAAAGGCCGAAGCAUCCCUUGUGGCCUCGCGAAAGGCCUUCUCCCGAGCCAUUGAGGACGCUCAGGAGGCAGACCGAUGUCGCGAGAUCGCGGAGAGGCGCGCGUGGCAGCUCCAAGCCUGGAGUACUUCCCUGGAGCAGCAAGUGGAGCUGCGCCAAGCUGCCCUUGCGUUGCUGAAGGGGAUGCCUGUCGAAGAGGAGGAGCUCCAGAAGCGCGAGGAAUCGCUAACGCUGGAGGCUGCCGAGCGCAACCUCGAUCUUGAGCGGUUGGAGACGAGGGAGCACCAGGUUACCCAGGCGGAGGACGACGUCGGUGCGCGGGAGGCCCGAAUCCAAGAAGAGAUCGAACGCCGCGUAGCGGAAGUCCACGCGGGCCUUGUGUGUGAGUAUGGUGAGAAGUUGGAGCUGAUCGAAGUCGAGGCUGCGAGCAGGACUGCCGCUCUCAGGACCAAGUUGACCGAAGCGACGCGGUGCGCGGAGGCCACCACAGCUGCCCUAGCCACGGCGCAGGCCGAGUGGGUCUCGUCCCUUGUUGAGUUGCUUCUUCUCCAACAGAGGGUCGAUGACGCCGAGGCCAUUGCUCGGCGGAACGAAGAAGAGAUUGCCAGACGCUGGAGCACAUGCAUGACCCCAUGCUCCAAACGCUCAGGGACAGGGCCAACACGGACCUUGGCAAUAUCUGUGAUGCGACUGCUAGACAACCUCAUGUGACCAAGUAUGCCGGCAAUCUCCAGUUAUUCACUGACGUGGUGACGCAUAUGGAGAAGGAACAAUGCUACUAUCCUUUUUACCACACUUGUGCUUUAAAGUAGCACGAUGAUCUUCAUGAUAGAGAGUCUCCUAUGUUGUCACUUUCAUAUACUAGUGGGAAUUUUUCAUUAUAGAACUUGGCUUGUAUAUUCCAAUGAUGGGCUUCCUCAAAAUGCCAUAGGUCUUCGUGAGCAAGUGAGUUGGAUGCACACCCACUUAGUUUCUUUUAUUGAGCUUUCAUACAUUUAUAGCUCUAGUGCAUCCGUUGCAUGGCAAUCCCUACUCACUCAGAUUGAUAUCUAUUAAUGGGCAUCUCCAUAGCCCUUUGAUACACCUAGUUGAUGUGAGACUAUCUUCUCCUUUUUUGUCUUCUCCACAACCACCAUUCUAUUCCACAUAUAGUGCUAUGUCCAUGGAUCACGCUCGUGUAUUGCAUGAAAGUUGAAAAAGUUCGAGAUUGCUAAAGUAUGAAACAAUUGCUUGGCUUGUCAUCGGGGUUGUGCAUGAUUAAAUACUUUGUGUGAUGAAGAUAGAGCAACAGCUAGACUAUAUGAUUUUGUAGGGAUAACUUCCGUUAGCCAUGUUAUUUUGAGAAGACAUGAUUGCUUUGAUUAGUAUGCUUGAAGUAUUACUAGUUCUUAUGUCAAUAUGAACUUUUAUUUUGAAUCAUUUGGAUCUGAACAUUCAUGCCACAAUAAAGAAAAUUACAUUGAGAAUUAUGCUAGGUAGCAUUCAACAUCAAAAAUUCUGUUUUUAUCAUUACCUACUAGAGGACGAGCAAGAAUUAAGCUUGGGGAUGGUUGAUACGUCUCCAAAGUAUCUAUAAUUUUUUAUUGUUCCAUGUUAUUAUAUUACCUGUUUUGGAUGUUUAUGGGCUUUAUUUUACACAUUUACAUCAUUUUUGGGACUAACCUACUAACCGGAGGCCCAGCCUUUAUUGAUGUUUUUUUUGCCUAUUUCAGUAUUUCGAAGAAAAGGAAUAUCAAACGGAGUCCAAAUGCAAUGAAACUUUCGGGAGUGUGAUUUUUGGAAUGAACGUGACCCAGAGGACUUGGAGUGCAAGUCAAGAGGCAGCCGAGGCUGCCACAAGGGUGGAGGGCGCGCCCACCCCCUGUAGGGCGCGCCCCCUAUCUCGUGGGCCCCUCAGGCGGCCACCGACCUACUUCUUCCUCCUAUAUAUACCCACGUACCCCGAGAACAUCAGAACAAGCCAUGAAAACCUAAUUCCACCACCGCAACAUUCUGCAUCCGCGAGAUCCCAUCUUGGAGCCUUCGUCGGUGCUCCGCCAGAGGGGGAAUCGACCAUGGAGGGCUUCUACAUCAACACCAUAGCCCCUCCGAUGAGUUGUAAGUAGUUUACCAUAGACCUUCAGGUCCAUAGUUAUUAGCUAGAUGGCUUCUUCUCUCUUUUUGGAUCUCAAUACCAUGUUUACCCCGAUCUUCUUGGAGAUCUAUUCGAUGUAACUCUUUUUGCGGUGUGUUUGUCGAGAUCCAAUGAAUUGUGGGUUUAUGAUCAAGUUUAUCUAUGAGAAAUAUUUGAAUCUCCUCUGAAUUCUUUUAUGUAUGAUAUAGUUAUCUUUGCAAGUCUCUUCGAGUUAUCAGUUUGGUUUGGCCUACUAGAUUGAUCUUUCUUGCAAUGGGAGAAGUGCUUAGCUUUGGGUUCAAUCUUGCGGUGUCCUUUCCCAGUGACAACAGGGGCAGCAAGGCACGUGUUGUAUUGUUGCCAUCGAGGAUAAAAAGAUGGGGUUUAUGUCAUAUUGCAUGAGUUUAUCCCUCUACAUCAUGUCAUCUUUCUUAAUGCGUUACUUUGUUCUUAUGAACUUAAUACUCUAGAUGCAUGCUGGAUAGCGGUCGAUGUUGUAAAGCCCAGGUAAUUAAGCUACAGUAAUCCCACGCUAAUGGUGCCACGUCACCACAGUUAUUGUUGUUAACCGUGCGAUGAUUCAAAACCAUUUCAAAAUUUAAAUUUAAAUUAAUGUCAACAAUAAAAGUUUUCAAAAUUUAAAACAAAAUUGUUCGGGAGGUGCCAUAUUUUGCAUAAGUAAAUAUGGUGUAAUAAACACAUUUUUAUAAAAUGCCUAGAUAAUUUAAAAUAAUUUAAAACAAAAAAGAAAUUACAAAAUAGAAAGAAACAAACAACCAAAAUAAAUAAAUAAAUGGACCCCCCCACUGGGCCUCGACCCAGCCGGCCCAAUCGGCCCAACCAUCCCGCACCCCCAUAACCUUCCCCACUCCUCCAGCUCGCCCACCGACACCCACACUCCCCCACCCCCGAAAUAUCCCCCCUCUCCCCCGAUUGGAUCGUGAUCGAGGGGGAGCCGCUCACCGCCGCGUCCCGAUGCCGUCUCGCCGCGAGGCCGCACCGCCAUCGCCGUCACCAUUCACCGGAGGAGCCUUGCCAGAGCUCNNNNNNNNNNNNNNNNNNNNNNNNNNNNNNNNNNNNNNNNNNNNNNNNNNNNNNNNNNNNNNNNNNNNNNNNNNNNNNNNNNNNNNNNNNNNNNNNNNNNGGAGCCAGCUAAGAAGCCACCCCCUCAGGCUUCAUCUCCACUGCUAACUUUGAGCUUCCCAAGCCUGCGCGCUGCCCCUGACGCGGGUUCGGCUGGAGAGGUGGGCCGACCAGCAGUGUGCCUUGAGCCUGGGUCUUUGCCGCCUUUCCAUCGCGACCUUGCCCGGGACGUGAUCAGCUUGCCCUAGGCCCCUCCUCUGAUCGUGAACAGUGAAUGGUUGAAGUCGAUCUUCGGCUCUUCUUCUGGGGAUGGAUCUGCACUGGCCUGGGUCCCUUGCGGGGCCCAUCCAGCGAUUGUGGGGGCACCAGCCCCUAGCCCCCUGUCGAGAGGGGGCGAACCACUUCAGGGCCCUCCGCCAACACCGGCGGCGGAGGACGAUAUCGACGACAUGCUCAAGCGUGUGUGGGAGUGCAGCGCCAUCCGCUAAGAGUUUCUCCGGAAGGCGACAGACGCGAUGGGCCAGCUCGGUGGAGAGCUCGCGGACGUGGACGCGUGUCUUGAAGCCGAAGGCCUGCGGCUGGUUGAGGAGCGGUGCAAGCUAAAGGUGGGAGUCAUCCUUGCGUGUCAUCAGCGUGAUCUUGAAAACACAAAGGCCGAAGCAUCCCUUGUGGCCUCGCGAAAGGCCUUCUCCCGAGCCAUUGAGGACGCUCAGGAGGCAGACCGAUGUCGCGAGAUCGCGGAGAGGCGCGCGUGGCAGCUCCAAGCCUGGAGUACUUCCCUGGAGCAGCAAGUGGAGCUGCGCCAAGCUGCCCUUGCGUUGCUGAAGGGGAUGCCUGUCGAAGAGGAGGAGCUCCAGAAGCGCGAGGAAUCGCUGACGCUGGAGGCUGCCGAGCGCAACCUCGAUCUUGAGCGGUUGGAGACGAGGGAGCACCAGGUUACCCAGGCGGAGGACGACGUCGGUGCGCGGGAGGCCCGAAUCCAAGAAGAGAUCGAACGCCGCGUAGCGGAAGUCCGCGCGGGCCUUGUGUGUGAGUAUGGUGAGAAGUUGGAGCUGAUCGAAGUCGAGGCUGCGAGCAGGACUGCCGCUCUCAGGACCAAGUUGACCGAAGCGACGCGGUGCGCGGAGGCCACCACAGCUGCCCUAGCCACGGCGCAGGCCGAGUGGGUCUCGUCCCUUGUUGAGUUGCUUCUUCUCCAACAGAGGGUCGAUGACGCCGAGGCCAUUGCUCGGCGGAACGAAGAAGAGAUUGCCAGACGCUGGAGCACAUGCAUGACCCCAUGCUCCAAACGCUCAGGGACAGGGCCAACACGGACCUUGGCAAUAUCUGUGAUGCGACUGCUAGACAACCUCAUGUGACCAAGUAUGCCGGCAAUCUCCAGUUAUUCACUGACGUGGUGACGCAUCUGGAGAAGGAACAAUGCUACUAUCCUUUUUACCACACUUGUGCUUUAAAGUAGCACGAUGAUCUUCAUGAUAGAGAGUCUCCUAUGUUGUCACUUUCAUAUACUAGUGGGAAUUUUUCAUUAUAGAACUUGGCUUGUAUAUUCCAAUGAUGGGCUUCCUCAAAAUGCCAUAGGUCUUCGUGAGCAAGUGAGUUGGAUGCACACCCACUUAGUUUCUUUUAUUGAGCUUUCAUACAUUUAUAGCUCUAGUGCAUCCGUUGCAUGGCAAUCCCUACUCACUCAGAUUGAUAUCUAUUAAUGGGCAUCUCCAUAGCCCUUUGAUACACCUAGUUGAUGUGAGACUAUCUUCUCCUUUUUUGUCUUCUCCACAACCACCAUUCUAUUCCACAUAUAGUGCUAUGUCCAUGGAUCACGCUCGUGUAUUGCAUGAAAGUUGAAAAAGUUCGAGAUUGCUAAAGUAUGAAACAAUUGCUUGGCUUGUCAUCGGGGUUGUGCAUGAUUAAAUACUUUGUGUGAUGAAGAUAGAGCAACAGCUAGACUAUAUGAUUUUGUAGGGAUAACUUCCGUUAGCCAUGUUAUUUUGAGAAGACAUGAUUGCUUUGAUUAGUAUGCUUGAAGUAUUACUAGUUCUUAUGUCAAUAUGAACUUUUAUUUUGAAUCAUUUGGAUCUGAACAUUCAUGCCACAAUAAAGAAAAUUACAUUGAGAAUUAUGCUAGGUAGCAUUCAACAUCAAAAAUUCUGUUUUUAUCAUUACCUACUAGAGGACGAGCAAGAAUUAAGCUUGGGGAUGGUUGAUACGUCUCCAAAGUAUCUAUAAUUUUUUAUUGUUCCAUGUUAUUAUAUUACCUGUUUUGGAUGUUUAUGGGCUUUAUUUUACACAUUUACAUCAUUUUUGGGACUAACCUACUAACCGGAGGCCCAGCCUUUAUUGAUGUUUUUUUUGCCUAUUUCAGUAUUUCGAAGAAAAGGAAUAUCAAACGGAGUCCAAAUGCAAUGAAACUUUCGGGAGUGUGAUUUUUGGAAUGAACGUGACCCAGAGGACUUGGAGUGCAAGUCAAGAGGCAGCCGAGGCUGCCACAAGGGUGGAGGGCGCGCCCACCCCCUGUAGGGCGCGCCCCCUAUCUCGUGGGCCCCUCAGGCGGCCACCGACCUACUUCUUCCUCCUAUAUAUACCCACGUACCCCGAGAACAUCAGAACAAGCCAUGAAAACCUAAUUCCACCACCGCAACAUUCUGCAUCCGCGAGAUCCCAUCUUGGAGCCUUCGUCGGUGCUCCGCCAGAGGGGGAAUCGACCAUGGAGGGCUUCUACAUCAACACCAUAGCCCCUCCGAUGAGUUGUAAGUAGUUUACCAUAGACCUUCAGGUCCAUAGUUAUUAGCUAGAUGGCUUCUUCUCUCUUUUUGGAUCUCAAUACCAUGUUUACCCCGAUCUUCUUGGAGAUCUAUUCGAUGUAACUCUUUUUGCGGUGUGUUUGUCGAGAUCCAAUGAAUUGUGGGUUUAUGAUCAAGUUUAUCUAUGAGAAAUAUUUGAAUCUCCUCUGAAUUCUUUUAUGUAUGAUAUAGUUAUCUUUGCAAGUCUCUUCGAGUUAUCAGUUUGGUUUGGCCUACUAGAUUGAUCUUUCUUGCAAUGGGAGAAGUGCUUAGCUUUGGGUUCAAUCUUGCGGUGUCCUUUCCCAGUGACAACAGGGGCAGCAAGGCACGUGUUGUAUUGUUGCCAUCGAGGAUAAAAAGAUGGGGUUUAUGUCAUAUUGCAUGAGUUUAUCCCUCUACAUCAUGUCAUCUUUCUUAAUGCGUUACUUUGUUCUUAUGAACUUAAUACUCUAGAUGCAUGCUGGAUAGCGGUCGAUGUUGUAAAGCCCAGGUAAUUAAGCUACAGUAAUCCCACGCUAAUGGUGCCACGUCACCACAGUUAUUGUUGUUAACCGUGCGAUGAUUCAAAACCAUUUCAAAAUUUAAAUUUAAAUUAAUGUCAACAAUAAAAGUUUUCAAAAUUUAAAACAAAAUUGUUCGGGAGGUGCCAUAUUUUGCAUAAGUAAAUAUGGUGUAAUAAACACAUUUUUAUAAAAUGCCUAGAUAAUUUAAAAUAAUUUAAAACAAAAAAGAAAUUACAAAAUAGAAAGAAACAAACAACCAAAAUAAAUAAAUAAAUGGACCCCCCCACUGGGCCUCGACCCAGCCGGCCCAAUCGGCCCAACCAUCCCGCACCCCCAUAACCUUCCCCACUCCUCCAGCUCGCCCACCGACACCCACACUCCCCCACCCCCGAAAUAUCCCCCCUCUCCCCCGAUUGGAUCGUGAUCGAGGGGGAGCCGCUCACCGCCGCGUCCCGAUGCCGUCUCGCCGCGAGGCCGCACCGCCAUCGCCGUCACCAUUCACCGGAGGAGCCUUGCCAGAGCUCNNNNNNNNNNNNNNNNNNNNNNNNNNNNNNNNNNNNNNNNNNNNNNNNNNNNNNNNNNNNNNNNNNNNNNNNNNNNNNNNNNNNNNNNNNNNNNNNNNNNCUUCCUACCAAACUUACGGCAAGGUUUACAUCAGGUCUAGUACACAGCAUGGCAUACAUAAUAGAUCCUAUGGCUGAGGCAUAGGGGAUGACACUCAUCUCUUCUUUAUCUUUUGCCGUGGUCGGGCAUUGAACCGAGCUCAAUAUCACACCUUGCAAUACAGGCAAGAACCCUUUCUUGGACUGAUCCAUUUUGAACUUCUUCAAAAUCUUAUCAAGGUAUGUGCUUUGUGAAAGACCUAUGAGGCGUCUCGAUCUAUCCCUAUAGAUUUUGAUGCCUAAUAUGUAAGCAGCUUCUCCAAGGUCCUUCAUUGAAAAACACUUAUUCAAGUAGGCCUUAAUGCUGUCCAAGAAUUCUAUAUCAUUUCCCAUCAAAAGUAUGUCAUCUACAUAUAAUAUGAGAAAUGCUACAGAGCUCCCACUCACUUUCUUGUAAACGCAGGCUUCUCCAUAAGUCUGCAUAAACCCAAACACUUUGAUCAUCUCAUCAAAGCGAAUGUUCCAACUCCGAGAUGCUUGCACCAGCCCAUAAAUGGAUCGCUAGAGCUUUCAUACUUUGUUAGCAUUCUUAGGAUCGACAAAACCUUCCGGCUGCAUCAUAUACAGCUCUUCCUUAAGAUAACCGUUAAGGAAUGCCGUUUUGACGUCCAUCUGCCAUAUCUCAUAAUCAUAGUAUGCGGCAAUUGCUAACAUGAUUCGGACGGACUUAAGCUUCGCUACGGGAGAGAAAGUCUCGUCGUAGUCAAUCCCUUGAACUUGUCAAUAACCCUUAGCGACAAGUCGAGCUUUAUAGAUGGUGACAUUACCAUCCGCAUCCGUCUUCUUCUUAAAGAUCCAUUUGUUUUCUAUCGAUCGCCGAUCAUCGGGCAAGUCAGUCAAAGUCCAUACUUUGUUUUCAUACAUGGAUUCUAUCUCCGAUUGCAUGGCUUCAAGCCAUUUGUUGGAAUCUGGGCCCGCCAUCGCUUCUUCAUAGUUCGAAGGUUCACCGUUGUCUAACAACAUGAUUUCCAGGACAGGGUUGCCAUACCACUCUGGUGUGGAACGUGUCCUUGUGGACCUACAAAGUUCAGUAGCAACUUGAUCCGAAGUACCUUGAUCAUCAUCAUUAAUUUCCUCUCCAGUCGGUGUAGGCACCACAGGAACAUUUUCCUGAGCUACACUAGUUUCAGGUUCAAGAGGUAGUACUUCAUCGAGUUCUACUUUCCUCCCACUUACUACUUUCGAGAGAAACUCUUUUUCCAGAAAGGAUCCGUUCUUGGCAACAAAGAUCUUGCCCUUGGAUCUUAAGUAGAAGGUAUACCCAAUAGUUUCCUUGGGGUAUCCUAUGAAGACGCAUUUUUCCGAUUUGGGUUCGAGCUUUUUAGGUUGAAGCUUCUUGACAUAAGCAUCGCAUCCCCAAACUUUUAGAAAUGACAGCUUAGGUUUCUUCCCAAACCAUAAUUCAUACGGUGUCGUCUCAACGGAUUUAGACGGUGCCCUAUUUAAAGUGAAUGUAGCUGUCUUUAGAGCGUAUCCCCAAAAUGAUAGCGGUAAAUCGGUAAGAGACAUCAUAUAUCACACCAUAUCCAAUAGAGUGCGAUUACGACGUUUGGACACACCGUUACGCUGAGGUGUUCCAGGUGGCGUGAGUUGUGAAAUGAUUCCACAUUUUCUUAAGUGUGUACCAAAUUCGUGACUUAAAUAUUCUCCUCCACGAUCCGAUCGUAAGAAUUUUAUCUUUCGGUCACGUUGAUUCUCUACUUCAUUCUGAAAUUCCUUGAACUUUUCAAAGGUCUCAGACUUGUGUUUCAUCAAGUAGACAUACCCAUAUCUACUUAAGUCAUCAGUGAGAGUGAGAACAUAACGAUAUCCUCCGCGAGCCUCAACGCUCAUUGGACCACACACAUCAGUAUGUAUGAUUUCCAAUAAGUUGGUUGCUCGCUCCAUAGUUCCGGAGAACGGAGUCUUGGUCAUUUUGCCCAUGAGGCAUGGUUCGCAUGUGUCAAAUGAUUCAUAAUCGAGAGACUCUAAAAGUCCAUCAGCAUGGAGCUUCUUCAUGCGCUUGACACCAAUGUGACCAAGGCGGCAGUGCCACAAGUAUGUGGAACUAUCGUUAUCCACUUUACAUCUUUUGGUAUUCACACUAUGAAUAUGUGUAACAUUACGUUCGAGAUUCAUUAACGAUAAACCAUUGACCAUCGGGGCAUGACCAUAAAACAUAUCUCUCAUAUAAAUAGAACAACCAUUAUUCUCGGAUUUAAAUGAGUAGCCAUCUCGCAUCAAACGAGAUCCAGAUACAAUGUUCAUGCUCAAACUUGGCACUAAAUAACAAUUAUUGAGGUUUAAAACUAAUCCCGUAGGUAAAUGUAGAGGUAGCAAGGACUUCAGUCCAUCUGUCGGCUAGCAAGUCUUGGUCAGCUCUAAGCUGCUGCUGUUUUUUCUUGAGGAUGCUCGCCGUGGCCAUAAGCCUGCGUUUGAAACGCUCUUGUUCAACAGGAUCCUCAGGCACGACAAAUUCGUCGUCGUCAAGGCUUGCCUCGUCUUCGAAGGGAGGCAUGUAAUUAUCGUCCUCUACCUCUCUGUCUGCCGCUCUCUCAUGAGGGCUGGCUUCUCCAUCCUCCUGUGCUGAAUCCUGCUGGAGGGGGUUGUCUUCGGCACUGUCCGGGGUGUUACUAUCUCCCGUGCCGGAAUCGCCGUUUUUGCUUUGGCGGGAUUUAGAGCGGCGCCUCUGACGCCGGCGCUUAGGCUGUUUCUUGGAGGGGUCAUCCUCCGUUGUUCCAUCGCCAUUCCCUUCUUUUGGGGUGUCCACUAUAUAUAUGUCGUAUGACGAGGUGGCUUUCCAGUGCCCUAUAGGCGCUGGUUCUUGGUCGUCUCCUGCAUCGGCGUCCAUACCAUCGAUGUCUUCGGAGUCGAAGUCGAGCAUGUCGAUUAAAUCAUCGACAGUGGCUACGAAGUGGGUGGUGGGUGGGCUUUGAAUUUCUUCGUCGUCUGCAUCCCAAUCUUGCUGACCAUAGUCCGGCCAGGGCUCUCCUGAUAAAGAGAGAGACUUUAGUGAAUUCAGGAUGUCGCCGAAGGGCGAGUGCUGAAAGAUGUCCGCGGUGGCGAACUCCAUGAUCGGCGCCGAAUCGGGAUCGAUCAGCAGGGGCGCGGAAGGUUCGGAGUCCGGAAAGGAGUCCGGCACCUUGGAGUCACGAGCUUCGCAAAGGACAAGGCUGGUGUUCGUCUCGAUCGCCAUAGAGAUUGCAGCUCCCGAGGCAGUGUCCAGCCACCCAUCCUCGAUUGGGCAGUCGGCUCCGAGCUAAGGGUCGGAGCGGACACUGGGGCGGUCUCCUGGGCACUGUUCGGCGACAGAGCUAGAUCAUGCCCAUCGUGACAGUGCAGCGCGCUUGGCUGUGGCUCGAACCCGUCGAAGAUCAAGUCUCCGCGGAUGUCAGCCGUGUAGUUCAAACUUGCAAACCUGACCUGAUGGCCAGGGGCCUAGCUUUCGAUCUGCUCCAGAUGACCAAGCGAAUUGGCCCGCAGUGCAAAGCCGCCAAAUACGAAGAUCUAUCGGGGGUGAAAAGUCUCACCCUGGACCGCAUUGUUGUUGAUGAUCGGAGGAGCCAUCGGGCCUAAAGAUGAUGACACAGGGGAACUCUCAAUGAAAGCACCAAUGUCGGUGUCAAAACCGGCGGAUCUCGGGUAGGGGGUCCCGAACUGUGCGUCUAGGCGGAUGGUAACAGGAGACAAGGGACACGAUGUUUUUACCCAGGUUCGGGCCCUCUNNNNNNNNNNNNNNNNNNNNNNNNNNNNNNNNNNNNNNNNNNNNNNNNNNNNNNNNNNNNNNNNNNNNNNNNNNNNNNNNNNNNNNNNNNNNNNNNNNNNAUCACACCCGUGCAGCUGCUCCUUCCGCUGGCAUCCUGCCAAGAACCUGCCGCUAGUCCACUCCUCUUUGUUUGUUGGCUCGAAGCCAUCAAGACACUUGCACAUUGGGACUGGUGCCGCCGUCUCAUCGCAGUAGCCAUACGGGCCACAGUAACCAUGGAGGUUGCAUUCAACAGCUGGCCACUUCAUAAGGACAACCCACGCCGACAAGUUGCUACUCCAGCUCUUGAGGUAAUACUCACCUGAGUAGGUCAGCACUGACCUUGUGAGUGGGGCGCCCUCAGAGAGGCUAUAUGUGCCAUAGAUCUCAUCACCGUUGUCGACCACGGCGAUGUACAUGAUAAGAUCACUAAAACUCAUUGUCCCUGCUAGCUGUUUUUGGCUGACGCUAGUCACUUGGAUCCCCGUCCAGGGAUUGCCACGGGUCACCAAGCUCUCCCCGUCCCACAGGAAUACUUGGAGGGGUGUGUCUGGGUCGCCACCGUAGGAGAAGCGCCCUGGAGAGGGAUCGUUGGGGCCCUUCCAGGAAACCAGACGAUCCCCAGUACCGUUUGUGCUGUAUUUGAUCCGCAUCUUCAUCCCCGGGAGGAGCGUGUCUGUGCGGUGGUCGAAGCUCUGCCACACUGUGGUGCCGUUUGACAAGCGAAUGAUGAGGUUGCCGGUGUUCAGAAGCACCGCCGUCGGGGUAGAUGAGCCCGGGGAAAUAGUUGUCACGUUGGCCCUCGUCCAAAGGAUACGGACACUAUUGUUAGCUUCGGAGAUAAUGAGAUUGGAGGUGUUGGUGAGGGAGAGCAUGGGUGCAAAGGAAGUGAUGUUGGUGACUGGGGUUUCACGGUUCGCAACCCACACAACUGUGAACUCAGAGAUGUUGUUGUACCAUAUACCAAGGUACAGCUUGGCUGGAGUGGAGUUGGAGGGGUUGAAGAAGCCCAAGGAGAACGUGCCACCAUCGGAGAUGAUGGUGUUGCCGGGAUACAGCGACUUGCCAGGGACAAGCCGGUCGUCCGAGCCGCACAACGGCAGGAAUAAAAUGAUCAGGGCCACGGUGCAGAGAGCCCGAGAAUCCAUCAAUCGACAAUGCAAAAAUCUUCGUUACUAAGCAGUAACUAGCUGUAGGCUAUAUAUAGUUGCUGCCAAAUGGAGAUAGCACUUGCAUCGAACCUUGGUCUACAAGUAAAUAUGUUUUCACGAACACAGGAAAGCAGCUUCCACGAAAGUUCUAUCGCAGAAGCAAACGAUUGAAUAAUGGAAAGUUGAGGGAUUCAAGAGUUGGUUUCAAAGUCUGAGUGCGUAGUUUAUAAUUCAGCUGUCCACACUGAAAUUUGGAUGCCACCAUCACUGCUGACUAGAUAGCCAUGUUUUUUCUACUUUUUCUACAUUAUGUUUUUGAAAUGACUAAAAGACGCACACAUAAUACUUACGUAGUCGCAGACACAUACUUAAGAGAAGAGUCAUGUAGUUUCAAAAUUAACAAAGUUACAAUAUGGAUGUAUUGCUAGCAACAAGGAAAUCACCCACCACGAAAAGAAAAAUUUGCAUUAGUUAGUCAUACAGAUCGAGUCAAACAUAACGUUCGAUCAGUCUCGGUGGUGGCUGAAAAAUAUAAUUCACCUCCUAACCUUCUAACCAAUGAUUGAUUUUUGACUAGUAGCUAUUGACCGAGACAUUGACCUAUACUGACCCGGCCACGAUCAUAUAUGGUCCAGCUCCGACGCGGCUAUUGGGUCCCAGUAUUUGAAGUUGUUGGUCAAACCUACAGGCAGAUGCGUGCAGUACCAACAGAAAAUGUAGUACUUCCAUUCUCAGACUGAAUUUUCUACAGUUUUAAUGUGCAGACUGAAUAUUCUCUUCCUCGUCAUGUAACAGCUGAAAAACAAAAAGAACCUGUAUAGUUUAAAAAGAAAAACUUUGCAGAUGGGUGAUGGAGCUACAAGCCUACAAAUGGAUUGUACCACCAUAAGACCUACUUAUGAAACAAUUUUGAGCUAUUUCAUGAAACUUUUGUUAUUAAGUGUUCUUUCAUGGAAUGUAUUUUCUAGUAUGGAAGACGGAUAGCUGACCUAUCUUCCCUCUAGAAGAGUAAUAAUCAGAAUGUUCAUUGAAUUUUGAUUUUUACAUGUUCUACCUACCUAUCAGUUAGCUACUUAUUUUGAUCUUCGCCAACUACCAUAGUUGAUUUCUGCUCACGACACGAUGGUUUCUCCUUUGGGACACGUUUGCUGAGAAGGGUGUGAUGAUGGUGUUUAUGCUUAUUUUAUCAUCAUCUUAGACUAGCAGUUGCAGAUGAACGCAUGCUUUUCAGUUUUCACACCCAUCAAUAUGUUUAUCUAAACUCGAAACGUUGAAUGUGACGCCCAAAUUUCGUCGGACUGCAUCAUUCUAUCCUACAAUUCUAUCUUCAAUAAACCACAACUUAAUUUCCAUUAUGAGAGCGAGAGAGAACAUUGGGAUCAAUGCAUGGUCAUGUUUUUUAUUUAAUAAUCCCUCCGUUGCUUUAUAUUAUGUGUAUUUAGUUUCUGAUAAAAUUUCACAAUGUAAGGUGUAUUUGUUCUAAUUCCUUGUAAUUCCAUUCUUGGCCCUCUAGAAAAAGGAAAAUAUCUCUCACCUGAUUGCAUGUAUCUCUCCCUGUAUAGAAAAAGGAAACUAUCUCUCUCAUGAUUAUGUGUAUCUAUUUCUUUUGCCUAAAUGAUUUACUUGCCCCUAAUGAACGAAAUUAACAAGGGUGAUUUUGUCCUAAAUUUCAUAUAAUAAUGUGCCUUGGUCACUACCAAAAAUAAGACACCUUACAUAAAUGAAUGGAGUAUAAAUGUAAGUACUUUACUGUGCAAAAUGACAUAGCUAGCAAUACCUACAGAAAAGGAAUGAAAACAUUGGAAGAUAACGACCUCCAACUAACUGAUACAUUGCCAUUUUGUUUCUUUAACGAAAUGUUUUUAAUUACGUAUAAGACUAAUCAUAAUCAUUCUACCGCCCUUAUAUAUCCGUAAGAGUAAGAUUGUUCAUGGAGUUUUGUAUGCCUACCCCGGUUUCUAAAUUUCCUUUUUUACCAUGCAAAACAUGCGCUCUGCUGAUUUCAUUAAGAUAGGAAAAAGAAAUAGAAUACAGAAGUUAUUUACAAGGGAUUUUUUUGAAAAGAUUUAGAAGGGACUAGCUAUAGAAAACUACAUGUUGGACAUUACCUAUGCUGCUCAAGGUCACUGUUGGGGAACGUAGUAAUUUCAAAAAAAAUCUUACGUCACACACAGGAUCAUGGUGAUGCAUAGCAACGAGAGGGGAGAGUAUGUCUACAUAACCUCGUAGAUCGAAAGUGGAAGCGUUAUAUCAACACGGUUGAUGUAGUCGUACGUCUUCACGAUCCGACCGAUCCAAGUACCGAAAGCACGGCACCUCCGAGUUCUGCACAUGUUCGGCUCGGUUACGUCCUCGCCUUCUCGAUCCAGCAAGAGGGGCGAAGUAGUAGAUGAGUUCCGGCAGCACGACGGCGUGGUGACGGUGUUGGUGAAUAACAAUCUCCGCAGGGCUUCGCCUAAGCACUACGAAAACUAUGACCGAGGAUAAACUAGAGGGGAUGGGGUAGCCGGCACAUGGCUUGGUGUUUCUUGAUGUGUCUUGGGUGCUACCCUACCCCUCUAUUUAUAUGUUGAGCCUUGGGGUCGAAACUUGGAGUAAAAGCCUCCACAAAAUCGGUUUCACCCGAAAGGCAAGAGUCCUUCUCGGACUCCAGGGCCAGACGCCAGGGUCCNNNNNNNNNNNNNNNNNNNNNNNNNNNNNNNNNNNNNNNNNNNNNNNNNNNNNNNNNNNNNNNNNNNNNNNNNNNNNNNNNNNNNNNNNNNNNNNNNNNNGUAAAAGACAUAAAGUAAAAGAUAGGCCCUUCACAGAUGGAAGAAGAGGUUGUCAUGUUCUUUUAGGGUUGGAUGCACAAAAUCUUAAUGCAAAAGAACAUCACUUUAUAUUGCCACUUGUGAUAUGAAACUUUAUUAUGCAGUCCAUCGCUUUUAUUACUUACAUAUCACACGAUCGUAUAAAGCUUAUGUUCUCCGCACUAAUAAGUCAUACAUAUUUAGAGAGGAAUUUUUAUUGCUUGCAACAUGACAACUUACUUGAAGGAUCUUACUCAAUCCAUAGGUAGGUAUGGUGGACUCUCAUGGCAAAAACUGGGUUUAAGGAUAUUUGGAAGAACAAGUAGUAUCUCUACUUGGUGCAAGGAAUUUUGGCUAGCAUGAGGGGGAAAGGCAAGCUCAACAUGUUUGAAUGAUCCAUGACCAUAUACUUUAAUUGAGAUGUGAGAAAACAUAAACCAUUACGUUGUCUUCCUUAUCCAACAUUAACUCUUUAGCAUGUCAUACUUUAAUGAGUGCUCACAAUUAUAAAAGAUGUCCAAGAUAGUAUAUUUAUAUGUGAAAACCUCUCUUUCUUUAUUACUUCCUAUUAAUUGCAACGAUGACCAAAACUAUGUUUAUCAACUUUCAACAACUUUUAAGUCUCAUACUCUUUAUAUGUGAAGUCAUUACUAUCCAUAAGAUCAAUAUGAACUCUUUUAUUCUCUUUUUUAUUCUUUCUAUUUUAUCAAAAUCAUAGCAAGAUAGGAAAGCCUUGACUCAACACUAAUCUUUAUUCUAUAGCUCACGGACUCGAUUACAUAAAGGGAUCACAAAGCAAAAUUCAAAACUAAUUCAUACCAAAACUUCAUUCUACUAGGUCAAGAUAUUACAAAAAGGAUCGAACUAAGAAAAACGGUAAAGACAGGAGUGUGAUGGUGAUAUGAUACUGGGGCACCUCCCCCAAGCUUGGCAGUUGCCAAGGGGAGUGCCCAUACCCAUGUGAUUAUGUCCUCGAAGGUGAUGAAGGUGGAGUUGUUGAUGAUGUAGGCUUGUCGUCCGUCUUCCAAGGCAUAGGCUCACCAUCAUAGAACGAGUCUCCGAGAUCCUCAAAUCUGCAGCCAAACUCAUCCUCUUGAAUCUAUAUUCAUACUCACAGUUUUGGUUUUGCGGGUCAUGGAUCUGGGCUUGGAGAUGCUCGAUUUUUUCAUGAAGCUUGAAGAUGGUCUCCCCAAUGUUCUUGGCGUCCAGCUUGUGGUUGUUGGUGAAUUCCACGAUCAUCAUCUAGUUGGUGUUAGGUCCACGCUCCACCAUCCCUUGGCACUUGAAAACUUGUUGUUCCAUAGCUUCCAGCUUUGUCUCCACGCUUCCGGUACGCCUUGGUCCCUCCACUUCGCGGAUGUGCAGCACCCCCUCAAGAUAGGGGUUGAUAACUGUCGGUGUCCAAACCGGCGGAUCUCGGGUAGGGGGGUCCCGAACUGUGCGUCUAGGCGGAUGGUAACAGGAGACAAGGGACACGAUGUUUUACCCAGGUUCGGGCCCUCUCGAUGGAGGUAAAACCCUACGUCCUGCUUGAUUGAUAUUGAUAUUGUGGAUGUUUACAAGAGUGGAUCUACCACGAGAUCAAGGAGGCUAAACCCUAGAAGCUAGCCUAUGGUAUGAUUGUAAGGGUUGUUGUUGUUGUUGUUGUUGUUGUUGUUGUUGUUGUCCUAUGGACUAGAGCCAUCCGUUUUAUAUAGACACCGGAGAGGGCUAGGGUUACAUAGAGUCGGUUACAAUGGUAGGAGAUCUAUGUAUCCGUAUCGCCAAGCUUGCCUUCCACGCCAAGGAAAGUCCCAUCCGGACACGGGACGAAGUCUUCAAUCUUGUAUCUUCAUAGUCUUGGAGUCCGGUAGAUGAUGAUAGUCCGGUCGAUGAUAGUUCGGCUGAUGAUGGUAGUCCGGCUAUCCGGACACCCCCUAAUCUAGGACUCCCUUAGUAGCCCCUGAACCAGGCUUCAAUGACGAUAAGUCCGGCACGUAUAUUGCUUGGCAUUGCAAGGCGGGUUCCUCCUCCGAAUGAUAGAAGAUUGUGAACACCAGGAUAGUGUCCGGCUCUGCAAAAUAAAUUCCACAUUCCACCAUAGAGAGAAUAAUAUAUACACAAGUUCAAUCUGCUGACGUUUUUUGUGGCAUGACGUCACGCCACUACCAAGCCAUUACUUGAAUCGUUUUUUACUCUACCACCUCAGCGCAUUUAGCGAAGUGGUUUCCUUGGCACGUCUUGUCGAAGCAGAGAUCGUGUUCCCCCUUAAUCCGGGAUUCUCAUCAAUACGGACGUGGGUAACCCAACCGCGCCAUUGAUGGUGACGCUUGGGGGAUAAGCGAGUUUUACCAAGCUAGUGGGGGACGCGUAGACUUCGCCCGCCCAUAUAAGGGAUAAGGAUUCACCUUUUCACCUACGCCUUCUUCCUCCUUUGCUUAUCCAUCUCCGCGCACUCGAGCUCCAGCGCCCAAGGCCGCACAUCUCGUCUCAACCUUCCCCACUUAUAUCCGGAGUGGGAGGCAAGUGGAUGACCUCCUCCGUCACGGAGGAGCACAUCGAAAGACUGCGCAGCGCCGGCCACCUGUCCGGCGACAUCGCGCACCGGCUGCCCGACGAGGGGCAGCUCAUCCCCACCCCCAGGCCGCAUGAGAGGGUCAUUUUUCUUCCCCACUUCCUCCGCGGAAUGGGGUUUUCCACUUCAACCCUUUGUCCGGGGGCUCAUGUUCUACUACGGCCUGGAUUUCCAUGAUCUGGCACCGAACUUCAUCCUCAACAUCUCGGCGUUUAUCGUCAUGUGCGAGUCCUUCCUCUGCAUCCAGCCCCACUUCGGCUUGUGGCUCAAGACCUUCAAUGUCAAGCCGAAGGUAGUGAAGGGCACUCAUCCGGAGUGCGGAGGCGCCAUGUUGGGCAAGAUGCCCAAUUUCCUUUGGUUCGAAGGGGCCUUCGUGGAAUCCGUCAAGGGGUGGCAAUCGGGGUGGUUCUAUAUCACCGAGCCGCGCGACCCUAAGUGGGCGGAGGCCCCCGAGUUCAGAUCUGGUAUCCCCAUGCAGCUCACCUCCUGGAAAGAGAAGGGCUUGCUGUGGGGUAGCUCGGAGGAGCUGACGGGACUCCAAGCCUGUAUCCAGAAGCUGGUGAAGAAGCUUAGGCUGGUUAACAUGGUCCAAGUCAUGCUCGUCCGCCGGAUUCUCCCAUGCCAAGAGCGGGCAUUCAAUCUGUGGGAGUUCAAUCCGGAACAGCACCAGGCGCUGAGCAGGCUCUUUGACACGACGUACGAAGGCGCCUGGAGGGUGCUUUUUAAGGGCGCCGAAGCCCCCGCAUCCGCGACUGAAGAUCGCGGAUUUCGCUCGCAACGCCAAGCCGACGAGGUAAGUGAUUCUACCCCUUUACGGGACACUUGCUUUUCAUAGUUUGACUCUAUGCGGGUUUUAAUUUCCCCUUUUCCUUUGACAGGACUGGAUGUGGAAGGCGGAGCAGAUUAUCUGCCUGGCUCCCAUGCCAGAAAACCCAGUAGACGCCCAUCUAGCGAAGCUGCUGGUUCCGGCACCGCACAUGGUGCCGGAGAAGAAGGCCAAGAAGGAGGCCACGGGUGCUCGAAAGAGUUCCCGUUUUUAGGUGUCCGACGACUCCGGGGCGGACUCCUCCCCCGAAAACGAGGAGGAGAAAGAGGACUCUCUCCCAGAGGAGGGAGAGAGGAAGAGGAAGGCUUCCCCAACAGGGGAGGCCGAAGGGUCCAAGAGGGGAANNNNNNNNNNNNNNNNNNNNNNNNNNNNNNNNNNNNNNNNNNNNNNNNNNNNNNNNNNNNNNNNNNNNNNNNNNNNNNNNNNNNNNNNNNNNNNNNNNNNAAUGAUGGUAAAUGUCACCAUUAAGAAAGCUCGACUUGUCGUUAAGAUGUUUUCCGACAAGUUCAAGGAGUUGACUACGAUGAGAUUUUCUCACUCGUAGCGAUGCUAAGAGUCUGUUGGAAUUAUAUUAGCGAUUACUGCAUUAUUUAUGAAAUCUUGCAGAUAGGAUGUCAAAACAUUGUUUCCUCGACGAUUUUAAUGAGGAAAGGUUGUAUGUGAUACAACCGGAAGGUUUUGUCAAUCCCGAAAGAUGCUAAUAAGUAUGCAAAGCUCCAGCAAUCCUUCUAAGGACUGGAGUGAGCAUCUCGGAGUUGGAAUGUAUGCUUUGAUGAUGAUCAAAGAUUUUGGGUUUGUACAAAGUUUAUGAGAAACUUGUAUUUCCAAAGAAGUGAGUGGGAGCACUAUAGAAUUUCUGAUGAGUAUAUGUUGUUGACAUAUUGAUGAUCAGAGAUGAUGUAGAAUUUCUAGAAAGCAUAUAGGGUUAUUUUGAAAGUGUUUUUCAAUGGAAAACCUGGAUUAAGCUACUUGAACAUUGAGCAUCAAGAUCUAUAAGGAUAGAUCAAAACGCUUAAUAGUACUUUCAAAUGAGCACAUACCUUGACAUGAUCUUGAAGGUGUUCAAGAUGGACCAGUCAAAGAAGGAGUUCUUGCCUGAGUUGUAAGGUACGAAGUCAAGACUUAAAGCUCGACCAUGGCAGAAUAGAGAGAAAGGACGAAGGUCGUCCCCUAUGCUUAAGAUGUAGGCUCUUCAGUAUGCUGUGCUGUGUACCGCACCUGAAGUGUGCCUUGCCAUGAGUCAGUCAAGGGGUACAAGAGUGAUCCAAGAAUGGAUCACAGGACAGCGGUCAAAGUUAUCCUUAGUAACUAGUGGACUAAGGAAUUUUCUCAAUUAUGGAGGUGGUAAAAGAGUUCGUCGUAAAGGGUUACGUCGAUGCAAGCUAAACACCUAUCCGGAUAGCUCUGAGUAGAGAUACCGGAUACGUACAAUGGGGCAACAAUUUAGAAUAGUUGCAAGUAGAACAUUUAUUUGGAAUAGCUCCAUAUAGAGCGUGGUAGCUGCAUCUAGGAGAUGACAUAAAGAUUUGUAAAGCACACACGAAUCUGAAAGGUUCAGACCCAUUGACUAAAACCUCUCUCACAAGCAACAUGAUCAAACAUAAAACUCAUUGAGUGUUAAUCACAUAGUGAUGUGAACUAGACUACUGACUCUAGUAAACUCUUGGGUAUUAGUCACAUGGCGAUGUGACCUGUGAGUGUUAAUCACAUGGCGAUGUGAACUAGAUUAUUGACUCUAGUGCAAGUGGGAGACUGUUGGAAAUAUGCCCUAGAGGCAAUAAUAAAAGUAUUAUUAUUAUAUUUCCUUGUUCAUGAUAAUUGUCUUUUAUUCAUGCUAUAACUGUAUUAUCCGGAAAUCGUAAUACACGUGUGAAUACAUAGACCACAAUAUGUCCCUAGUGAGCCUCUAGUUGACUAGCUCGUUGUGAUCAACAGAUAGUCAUGGUUUCCUGGCUAUGGACAUUGGAUGUCGUUGAUAACGGGAUCACAUCAUUAGGAGAAUGAUGUGAUGGACAAGACCCAAUCCUAAGACUAGCACAAAUAUCGUGUAGUUCGUUUGCUAGAGCUUUGCCAAUGUCAAGUAUCUCUUCCUUUGACCAUGAGAUCGUGUAAUUCCUGGAUGCCGUAGGAGUGCUUUGGGUGUAUCAAACGUCACAACGUAACUGGGUGACUAUAAAGGUGCACUACAGGUAUCUCCGAAAGUAUCUAUUGUUUUAUGCGGAUCGAGACUGGGAUUUGUCACUCCGUGUAAACGGAGAGGUAUCUCUGGGCCCACUCGGUAGGACAUCAUCAUAUGCGCAAUGUGACCAAGGAGUUGAUCACGGGAUGAUGUGUUACGGAACGAGUAAAGUGACUUGCCGAUAACGAGAUUGAACAAGGUAUUGGAUACCGACGAUCGAAUCUCGGGCAAGUAAAAUACCGCUAGACAAAGGGAAUUGAAUACGGGAUCGAUUGAGUCCUUGACAUCGUGGUUCAUCCGAUGAGAUCAUCGUGGAACAUGUGGGAGCCAUCAUGGGUAUCCAGAUCCCGCUGUUGGUUAUUGACCGGAGAACGUCUCGGUCAUGUCUGCAUGUCUCCCGAACCCGUAGGGUCUACACACUUAAGGUUCGAUGACGCUAGGGUUAUAAAGGAAGCUUGUAUGUGGUUACCGAAUGUUGUUCGGAGUCCCGGAUGAGAUCCCGGACGUCACGGGGAGUUCCGGAAUGGUCCGGAGGUAAAGAUUUAUAUAUAGGAAGUCCUGUUUCGGCCAUCGGGACAAGUUUCGGGGUCAUCGGUAUUGUACCGGGACCACCGGAAGGGUCCCGGGGGCCCACCGGGUGGGGCCACCUGCCCCGGGGGGCCACAUGGGCUGUAGGGGGUGCGCCUUGGCCUACAUGGGCCAAGGGCACCAGCCCCAAGAGGCCCAUGCGCCUGGGGAAACCCUAAAGGAAGAGUCCCAGCAGGGGAAGGCACCUCCUAGGUGCCUUGGGGGGGGGGGAGGACUCCUCCCCUGGCCGCCGCCUCCUUGGAGAUUGGAUCUCCUAGGGGCUGGCGCACCCCCCCCCCUUGGGAUCCCUAUAUAUAGUGGGGUAGGAGGGCCUCCCAAACACACCUUAUGCCUUUGGUGCAGCCCCUCCCUCUCUCCCAAGUUACUCUCCUCUUCUCCCAUGGUGUUUGGCGAAGCCCUGCGGGAUUGCCACGCUCCUCCACCACCACCACGCCGUUGUGCUGCUGUUGGAUGGAUUCUUCCUCAACCUCUCCCUCUCUCCUUGCUGGAUCAAGGCGUGGGAGACGUCACCGGGCUGUACGUGUGUUGAACGCGGAGGUGCCGUCCGUUCGGCACUUGAUCAUCGGUGAUCUGAAUCACGACGAGUACGACUCCAUCAACCCCGUUCACUUGAACGCUUCCGCUUAGCGAUCUACAAGGGUAUGUAGAUGCAAACUCUCCUCUCCUUUCUACUCGUUGCUGGUCUCUCCAUAGAUAGAUCUUGGUGUUACGUAGGAAAAUUUUUGAAUUUCUGCUACGUUCCCCAACAUGAGUGUCAUCCCCUAUGCCUCAGCCAUAGGUUCUAUUAUGUAUGCCAUGCUGUGUACCAGACCUGAUGUAAACCUUGCCGUAAGUUUGGUAGGAAGGUACCAAAGUAAUCCCGGCAAGGAACACUGGACAGCGGUCAAGAAUAUCCUAAAGUACCUGAAAAGGACUAAGGAAAUGUUUCUCGUUUAUGGAGGUGACGAAGAGCUCAUCGUAAAGGGUUACGUCGACGCUAGCUUCGACACAGAUCUGGAUGACUCUAAGUCACAAACCGGAUACGUGUAUAUUUUGAAUGGUGGGGCAGUAAGCUGGUGCAGUUGCAAGCAAAGCAUCGUGGCGGGAUCUACAUGUGAAGCGGAGUACAUGGCAGCCUCGGAGGCAGCACAUGAAGCAAUAUGGGUGAAGGAGUUCAUCACCGACCUAGGAGUCAUACCCAAUGCGUCGGGGCCGAUCAAGCUCUUCUGUGACAACACUGGAGCUAUUGCACUUGCCAAGGAGCCCAGGUUUCACAAGAAGACAAGGCACAUCAAGCGUCGCUUCAACUCCAUUCGUGAAAAUGUUCAAGAUGGAGACAUAGAGAUUUGUAAAGUACAUACGGACCUGAAUGUAGCAGAUCCGUUGACUAAACCUCUCCCUAGAGCAAAACAUGAUCAACACCAGAAUUCCAUGGGUGUUNNNNNNNNNNNNNNNNNNNNNNNNNNNNNNNNNNNNNNNNNNNNNNNNNNNNNNNNNNNNNNNNNNNNNNNNNNNNNNNNNNNNNNNNNNNNNNNNNNNNGCUAGGGCGGGGAUCCCCAAGCAAAUGAGGCGUAAUUUUGACACUAUGGCCAUCCUUCUUCAUUGGAGGAUCUGGAAGGAAAGAAAUGCAAGGAUCUUCGAUAAUGCGGCGAGCACUCCUGACAGGGUUCGGGACCUUGUCUUGGAAGAUAUACACAUAUGGAGAUCAGCCGGCUGUAUCAGCGACUUGGCGACAUAAGCCUAGUCUGUUCUGUAUCUCAUUGGCCACUACUCGUGCGGCGAGAACGAGGGUCGAGCCUAUCUGGAAGCUGGCGAAGGAUAAUCAGUUCUCUGCCUAGAUGUAGUCCUGAUAACGGACUGAUUAUAAUGCUCUCUGUCUCCCCUGCGUUGACGAGCUUGUGUUCUUUUGGGUUUCAGCUCUAGUUCUCCUAGGCUGUUUCCCAUGCUGUAUUCUUUUCCUUCAAUCUAAUAAAGUACGGCCAUUGGCCCUUCGGUACAGUUUCUUCAUCCUCUUUGUGCCAUGGCUGUCCACCUCUUCGUCCUCACCAGUCCGGUCGCAACGUUUCCCUAGCACGCCUCCCACUGCGGAGCACACACAGCUCGAUGCGGCGUCGCCAUCAGACAGCACCUCUUCAACCACUCCAAACAGCGGGUCAAAGUCAGCGAAUCCCUCGACCACGCCUCUAGCUAUGCGGCCAUAGGUGUACCCGGCAGCAGCCUUUCCAUUUGCAGGAUUUUCUUCCAUCGUUUUGCAUUCAGGCAGCUGGUCAUAAUAAAAACACCAAUAAAUAUUAUUGUGACUAAUUUUUUCUGAAGAUCGACCGAACAGAUACCUUAUAUGACAGAACAUCAUGACGAGAGAGUAGAGACUCUGCUUCCACGCCGCACCCUACAUCAAGAUAGCACUGACACUACUAGGAAAAGGCCUACUAAUGGCGCACCGGUUUUGCCUACUAAUGGCACACUACCGGUGUGCCAUUAGUAUCACGCCACUAUUAUUUUUACUUAGUAUCUGGUAUACUAAUGGCGUACCAUGCAGUGCGCCAUUAGUUUUGCCCACAGUGCACCACUAGAGUCUGCUAUACUAAUGGCGCACCACAUGGUAGUGCGCCAUUAGUAACAAUUUUUUUAAUUUUUUUUCUUAAUCUCAGGUCACUAUUUCACAUAUGAGAUAUCGAACACAUAUAUAUACAACAAGCAUCCAUAUAACAAUCAUAGCCAAUACACAAGUUUCAUCAUCUAUACAUACAUAGCCAACACAUAGUUCCAUCGUUACAUAUUAGAAAAGUUUCACAUUGUUCAUCCAACACCGUUAUCCAUCAAUUCACAAAAGUUUCACAUUGAUACAAAAUAAAAACACAAAUGGAAAAGAAGCACUCCAUCCAUGCAAGCUUCCGUGAAUUAAAUCAAAUCUGCAAAAUGAUAAACAAGAAGUUAGAAGAAGAAGAAGAAGAAGACUAGAAGAAUACUAGAAGAAGAAGAACACUAGAAUAAGAAUAAGAAGAAUUUUCGAAAAAAGAAGAAUAAGAAGAAGACUAUAAGCUUACUAUGUAAACUUGAUCAUUUUGUGCUAACAUAAGUAAUUUUGGAGCUAACCUAUAGGAAACUAAGCAUAUAAGCUCUAAGUUAGCAUAUUAGAGCCAACUUAGGUAAAAUGAAGCUAACCUAUGUCAUUUUGGAAAAGAAGAAGAAUAAGAAGGAGACUAUAAGCUUAUUAUGUAAACUUGAUCAUUUUGUGCUACCAUAAGUUAUUUUGGAGCUAACCUAUAGGAAACUAAGCGUAUAAGCUCUAAGUUAGUAUAUUAGAGCCAACUUAGGUAAAAUGAAGCUAACCUAUGUCAUUUUGGAAAAGAAGAAUAAGAAAAAGACUAUAAGCUUAUUAUGUAAACUUGAUCAUUUUGUGCUAACAUAAGUUAUUUUGGAGCUAACCUAUAGGAAACUAAGCAUAUAAGCUCUAAGUUAGCAUAUUAGAGCCAACUUAGGUAAAAUGAAGCUAACCUAUAGGAAACUAAGCAUAUUAGAGAUAACAUAGGUAACUAAGUAUAUAUAUAUAUCAUUUUGGAGAUCUGACAUACCUGACAAAGUUCAGUUCUCAUGCAUUGUUCUUCUCCUUCUCCUUCCUCAGCCUGAUGCGCCAAGAGUGGCGAGGCAGUGGAGGCAGUGGGAUGUAGUCUUCUACCACAAUUGGCGUGGUCAUGUCGCCCAGCUGUGGGAUCGUCGGCGCCACCACCGGUGCGUGGUCAUUGUCAGGCACCACCACCAUCGCGAGACCACCUUCAGGCACGACCAUCGCUAGGUCAUCCUCAGCCACCUCCAUCUCUUGCCCAUGGUCAGCCACCACCAUCUCUUGACCAUUGAGGGAGUCCUGGACUAGGGGGUGUCCGGAUAGCCGAACUAUCAUCAUCGGCCGGACUCCAAGACUAUGAAGAUACAAGAUUGAAGACUUCGUCCCGUGUUCGGAUGGGACUUUCCUUGGCGUGGAAGGCAAGCUUGGCGAUACGGAUAUGUAGAUAUCCUACCAUUGUAAUCGACUCUGUGUAACCCUAGCCCUCUCCGGUGUCUAUAUAAACCGGAUGGCUUUAGUCCGUAGGACGAACAACAAUCAUACCAUAGGCUAGCUUCUAGGGUUUAGCCUCCUUGAUCUCGUGGUAGAUCUACUCUUGUAACACACAUCAUCAAUAUUAAUCAAGCAGGACGUAGGGUUUUACCUCCAUCAAGAGGGCCCGAACCUGGGUAAAACAUCGUGUCCCUUGUCUCCUGUUACCAUCCGCCUAGACGCACAGUUCGGGACCCCCUACCCGAGAUCUGCCGGUUUUGACACCGACAUUGGUGCUUUCAUUGAGAGAUCCUCUGUGUCGUCGCAAUCAGGAAGGAUGCCUUUUCCCGUCUUUAAAGACGGCACCGUCAUCAAGGGAGCUUUGGCCGCCGGCCAAACUAUCCGGCUAGGUGGUUUUCUUAUGACCGCCUGUUCGGCCACCGCUCUGACGAUGACCUCUCAGGUCAUCAAAAGCGAUCUUCACGUCAGCUCGGAAUUCGUCGAGCAGCUAGAUCCGAUGGAGCUCUCCUCCGUAAACGAGCUCUUGGAUCGCAUCGCCGCCCUGGGAGUCGCUACAGACUACGAUCAGAUAGGGCUUAAAACCGAUCUGAGAGAAAUUAACUCUCCCCAGGCUACCCACCACGUUGUUGUGGUAGAGGAACAAUGCGGCGACCCUUCUUCUAUGUUAAAAACCAGCUAUGUCCGGAUUCCCGAUCCCUCCAUGCCGGAUUCCCGCGGAGGGACGGACGUCAAUCAAAUACUGAACCUAAAGUCAGGCAUCGGACUAGAUUUGUUGGAAAGCAUCCAACAAACCAAGCUUCCAAAUCCGGAAACUUCUUAGCCUUUGAGCCUCAGAUCGGGCGGGGUUCCGAACUUAAUUCCACCCGCCCACCCAAACAUAAGCGAUCUAUCUCAAAUAUGGCAAGAGCCCGAUGAAACAGUACAUCAUUGCUGGCCCAGAUUCCUCCUGGUUAUGAACAGGAUAAAGGACUGCCGUGAAGAAAGCGCGAUUUCAAUUUUCUGCAACAAUUGCACGGACAAGGGAAUCAUAAACACCAUAAGUCGUCCCGAAGUUACACGCUUCGCCGACCUAGGGACCAUUGUACAAAAAUACUGGGCGAUGGAGAGUGCCUGGAAAACCGAAACCAGGUUUUGGGACAAUCCGGCCCUGAAUAUAACCCCAGUCCGAAAUAAAAGGGUGCGUCAUGCUCAAGCACCGGGAUUAAAAACCAAAAAGCAAAAAAAANNNNNNNNNNNNNNNNNNNNNNNNNNNNNNNNNNNNNNNNNNNNNNNNNNNNNNNNNNNNNNNNNNNNNNNNNNNNNNNNNNNNNNNNNNNNNNNNNNNNGAGAGCAGGAGCGAGAACAUGGGAUUGUAUCGAUAUGAUCAAAUGGUUGGUUGCUUGCCUGAUGGUUCGAUGCACGGAUACGGUUCUUCGUUAGGGUAAUCACGGUACUCCUCGGGGACAGAUCCUGUCGCAAAGGACAUCGAUACACAAGCAUCACCAAACAAUGUGCAACAAUAUGAUGCAUGCAUGAAACAUGGCAAUAUGAGUGUGUUGGGCUAAUGCAACUAAAACCAGAAGUGUUUGAACAAAUUUGAAUCAAGGAUUCAAAUUUCAAAUUCAAAUAUGGCCUUUUAAAGUGCUUUUCCUUGUUCUGAUUAAAACAUCAAUUUAACUUGUUUGAUCAUGCAUGAAAAUAGUACAGAUGGAUAGAUUGGAUUUUUCUGAUCAUUUUUCAUAUAUAAUUUGUCCAAUUUGGAGUUACAGAAUAAAAGUUAUGAAUUUUUGAAGUUUAAAUAAUAUUCUGGAAUUUCCUGAUUUAAUUUAAAUCCAGAAAUUCAAUUACUGCGUCAGCAUGACAUCAGCAUGACGUCAGUGGUCAACUGUGGCUGGCUGAGGUCAAACCUGACGUGUGGGGGCCACACGUCAGUGACAGGGGGGGUUAAACAGGAUUAAAUUAAUCCUAAUUAGGGGUUAGUGGCGCUGGGACCCACUGUCAGUGUCAGGGGGGGUUAACUAACAGUAGUUAGCGCUAACCUAACCACCUGGCCGACAGGGCCCACGCGUCAGUGACCCUGGGGGGUCAAACCCCAGGUCGGGCAAGUCAAACCCCACCGGCGACAUGACGCCGGCGAGGUCCGAGACGGCAGCGAUAGUGCUUUUUGCCAUUCCGGCAACCAAAUGGACGGCGGAAGGCACCUACGUGUUGCUGAGGUUGAGCCGCGUCUAUUGGUGGUGGUGGUUGGGCUCGGGGUGGCCGGAGUUGACGGCGGCGAGCUCGGCUGUGGCGGCCGGAGUUCGGGUGCGGUCGGGAUCAGCGUUGCAGGGGGUUUGGGGAAGCGUUGGUGCGUGCUGCGUGCUCCUAGUGAGGUGGGGAGCACGAUGGUGUGCUCGGUUGGGUGCUACGGCGACCGUGGCCACGACGGCGACAUCGCCGGCGGCGUGGAGGUCUCGGCCAAGGUGGGGCUAGGGCCUAGAGGUCGAAAGAGACCAGGGGAGAAGGGGGAAAUGAUCCGGGGGCUCACCGCGGAGCUGCAGGGAUGGUUAGCGGGCUCGGGGACGCGCUGGUGACGGUGAAUUCGACGGCGACGACGGUCGGAGCCCGAAGAGGGGAACGGCGACGUGGCGGCGAUGCAGGGCUUCCGGGGAGCUGUGGAGCGGUGGGGAGGAAGAGGGAGUCGAGGCGGAGCUCCUGAGCUAGUCGGGGGAGCGAGGGGUGGUCGGAGACGGUGGCUAAGGCGAACGGCGGCGACGGUGGUGUUCGGCCGGGCGAGAGAGAGAGCGAGGGAGAGCCGGGGGNNNNNNNNNNGGCAGGCAGGGAGAGAGGUGGCGUGGCGCGGUGGCCGUGCGCGCGCGCCGGCCACACGCCUGGCCGACUGGCGCCAGGAGGACGACGGCGGUGGUGGGCUGGGCUGGCUAGCUGGGCCGGCCAGCUGGUUGGGCCGCACAGGUAAGUUUUUCCCUUUUAGUUUUCUGUUUCUGUUUUUAUUUAAUAUAUCUGCAACUUUGUUGAAUGAAAUAAAAUACCUAGGCAACUCCAAAAAUCACCAAACUAUUUCUGGCCCAUAGUUGGAUUAUUUCCAACAUGAAACAUUUUAGUUUGGAGAUAUUUGAGCAUUUAAAUAUUUUAUAUUAUUUUAAAUGCCCAAAUUCAAAUAUUUAUGAUUUAAUUCAAAAACCUUAGGAUGGCCUAGGAAAAUGUGCACCACUUUUGGCAGAGGUUCUGAACCAAGGCAAAAAUGAUGGGCAUUUUAGAAGGGCAUUUCAGGUUCAUUGAAAAAUUAUUUUAGUAACCCUAGUUGGUUUCAGAGGGGACUGGGGGUUCUGUCAUCCCCAUUUCAAGUUUCUGAUGAAAGAGUAAACAUGAUGCAACACUCUAAUGCAUGACUAGCUAGGGUGUGACAUCGGGAAUGCACCAAAAAAGCUUCUCGACAGCUCUCUCCUCGGUGUAGGUGGCAUCGCCAAACUUCAUCAUCUUCUGCAGCAGAGUGUUGAGACGGAGAGCAAAGUCAUCAACGUCCUCACCUGGCUUGAAGCCCAGGUUCUCCCACUCCUUACGAAGUGCCUGUAGUGUGGACUUGCGAGCACGGUCGCUGCCGAUGCGUGCUGCGGCGAUGGCGUCCCAAGCCUCAUUGACAGUCCGCUUGUUGGAAAGCGAGAACUGCAUCUCGGGCGGGACUGCGGCGAUGAGGGCGUCCAGCGCCCGUCGAUCCUCUAGGUGGUCGACGUUGCUGUCCUGGACUGCCUCCCACAUGCGCCGCACCUGGGGCCUGACCUUCAUGAUCCCGGCCCACUCGAUGUAGUUGGUUUUAGUGAGGGUAGGCCACCCAACACUGGAACCAACAUCCCUGACCACAGUCGGGACCUCGUAGAGGCCGCGGUCCUGGUCGUUGCAGCCGCCGUCGCGGUGCGCGCCUCCACCUUGAGCGCGGGCGUGCUCGGCUGCCCACUGCGCCGUCCUCUCCUGCGCCACUUUGGCGCGAUCUGCGUCGGCGCCGUCGUCCGCAGGCGCGGAGCUGCUGGAGCUGCCGGGGCUGCCGCGGAGUGCCUUGGCAUCCGCCGUAGCCUCACGGGCUGCUUCUGCUGCUACUGCUGCUCCUACCUCCGCCCUGGCUGCUUCUACCUCCGCUCUGGCUGCUGCCAGCUCCGCUGCAGCCAGCCUCGACACCCUUGCCGCCGCAGCAGCUGCUGCUACAGCCGCUCGCUCACGCUCCUCUGCCACGGCGCGCUCGGCCUCCUGCCGGCGCCGCAUGCUCGAGGUAGCCGUGUGCUGAGAGCGACCUGCAGACAUGGCUCGCUGCAGGGGGGCUGUUGCGUGAAGAGGAGGCCGAUGAAGACGAGCUGCUGCUCGACAGUCCGGAGGGAGGAAGGUAACCAGAGGCAGACGGAGCAGCUGCUGCUACCGACUUGGGCUGCUCACAGGAAAUGCUCAGGGUACAGGUUAACGAGGCUCUGAUACCACUUGUUAGACCUUUCAGUCUGAGCAUUGAUAGUUGUGGAUGACACUAGAAGAGUUGGGACAAUUUUCGUUGGUUUAUUUCUCACACAAUGCCAUGCCAACCUGAGGGGUUGGGGAUACAUAUUUAUAGGCUGCUAGCCAGCCAAGGCAUAUGCUAAGAUGCUGCUAAGAUGCCAGUCUAAGAUGCUAGUCUAAGAUGCUAACUGACAGUCCUUGAUGGUCAAGAACAGAACUCUAUCCUAACAGCCAGUCCUUGAUGGUUCAGGACUUUAUCCUCCUAACUGCCACAAGGACCAUGUGCUGCAGCCCCACAAAGACCCUAGUACAUAAACUUAUCCAUCAACCUCCACCACCGCCCCGCUGGCCGCCACGAACAGCGUCCCUCCACCGCCGGUGCCGAUUACCUCCGCCGCCCCGGUUGCCACCAUCUUCACCCUCGAGGAAGUCACCGGCGCGCUCCGCGAUCUCGCCACCGCGGUCCAGGAGAUCCGCCUCUACCUGGCCGGCCCCCACGAGCCGCCGCCGGCCGCGCCACCCGCCGCCGCCACCGGGCCGCUGCUCCUACCGUGGCAGCUGCCCCUCCCGGCGGCCUCCGCCGCCCUCGCCAGCCCGUUGCAGCCCCAGCUNNNNNNNNNNNNNNNNNNNNNNNNNNNNNNNNNNNNNNNNNNNNNNNNNNNNNNNNNNNNNNNNNNNNNNNNNNNNNNNNNNNNNNNNNNNNNNNNNNNNGGUGAUAGAACAAUCUCAUAUCAUAAUCCUUAAUGAGCUCCAACCAUCUCCUUUGCCUGAGAUUUAACUCCUUCUGUGGGAAGUUGUACUUCAAGCUCUUGUGAUCAGUGUACACCUCACAAUGGUUUCCGAUGAGAAAAUGUCUCCAUGUCUUUAAUGCAUGCACUAUGGCUGCUAACUCCAAAUCAUGUGUAGCAUAGUUCAACUCAUGGGGUUUAAGCUGUCGUGAGGCAUAAGAAACAACUCUUCCCUCCUGCAUAAGCACCGCUCCAAGUCCUCGACGAGAAGCAUCGCAAUAUACUUCAUAAUCCUUGCGCUCAUCUGGCAGAAUCAACACCGGUGAUGUAACCAAACAUUUCUUCAACUCCUGGAAACUGGCCUUACAUUCCUCAGUCCAUUUGAAUUUGAUGUCCUUUUUCAACAACUCUGUCAUGGGUUUUGCGAUCUUCGAGAAAUUCUCAAUGAACCUCCGGUAGUAUCCUGCGAGUCCAAGAAAACUCCGGAUAUCUCCAACUGAUGUGGGUGCUUCCCAAUUUGUCACAGUGACAACUUUGGUGGGGUCUACUGCUAUUCCUUCUCCGGAUAUAACAUGUCCAAGGAAUCCAACUUCCUUCAACCAAAACUCGCACUUGCUGAACUUGGCAUAUAAUUGAUGCUCUCUGAGCUUCCCAAGUACCAAACGCAAAUGUUCCUUAUGCUCUUCUUCAUUCUACGAGUAGACCAAAAUAUCAUCAAUGAACACCACAAUGAACUUAUCCAGAAACUCCAUGAACACCUUGUUCAUCAUGUUCAUAAAAUAGGCAGGUGCGUUAGUCAGACCAAAUGACAUAACGGUAUACUCAUAUAGCCCGUACCUUGUGGUAAAAGCUGUCUUAGGUAUAUCCUGCUCUCGAAUCUUCAGCUGGUGGUAUCCUGAUCGCAGAUCGAUCUUGGAAAAUACUUUAGCUCCUUGCAACUGGUAAAACAAAUCAUUGAUCAUCGGCAGUGGGUACUUGUUCUUGAUUGUCACUUCAUUCAAUCCUCGAUAAUCAAUAGCCAUCCUUAAUGAUCCAUCCUUCUUCUCCACUAGAAGCACUGGUGACCCCCAAGAUGUUCUAUCACUUUUAGCUAGCACAGAGGCUAGAGAUGAGAUUAGUGCACUUGUUGAUACUCCUACUAGAAUAGAGGCUAGACAUGAGACUAGAUGUGAGGAAGCAACGUCUACUUCUUUACACUCGAAGAAGAAAGAAGCACGCAAGAUCGAGCCUCCGCAGAUCAACAAUGAAUGCAUCGAGAAGGCACUAAUCCAACUUAUAGGAGUAGUAAAAUUUAUUCUUGUGGUUCUUGUUUUCUUUGGUCUUGCUUUUCUAGUCAAAAUUAUCGUUGGAGUUCGUGCAAAACGAAGGUCCGUUUGGGGUCGUGCGUUGGAGUUUGCCUUACAAGUGGGACCGCAGUUAAGGAAACCGACUAUCGGCAAACCCCCACCUCGCCCGCCGCGCGAUGGCUGAAGUUAGAGAAAUGACGAGGUUGAAGAGAUUGCUCUAGCAUGGACUCCAAGAAAUAAUAUGGUGUCAGAUGGAUGUCGUGGUGGUGGCGUGUGUCGUACUCCUGGACGUGAAUGCUUGUUCUGGCCCAUGCCACCCUACUACUCCUACUACUUACUCCUACUAUAUAGUACUAGUAUCGAGGAUUCGAGGUGCUGGUUACGUACAGCAAACACAUUAACAUAUGGCUACAGUAAAAACACCUGCCCGACGCGUGAAGCAUGUGAAGCUAGUACAAAUAGUGUACAACUAUUGUUGAUUGGCCUCAUCCGAUAACCUGUUGCAAUGCACGUACAAUUAUGUAUUCAGAAAAAUUUUUUCCUCGUCGCACCACUCACUCAGAGAAGUGACUCGAAAGCCAUUCCUAAAUUUAGUAAGUUUAUCACAGGCAUAUCAUUUUAUUACAUACAAUAGGUCAUCAACCCACAUCGACAACGAGGAUACAUUAUAAAUACUAAAGUUUUCACCAUACAAAAAAUAACAAGCAAUAAAAUGAACUUCAACUCAACCAUUCCUCGGUGUUGGAAAUGCUUGCUUUGAACCACAAGUGAUUCUCUGGGACGGGCCAUCCAUUAUCGAUCUGGAGACCAACGCAGGACUGAUCAUCCAGGCUGAAGCGGCCUACUAUAUCAGUACCAGGGUAGGGAACCACCCAAUUGUCCGAGGUAUAGACACAGCUGCUUCUCAUAAAUGGUACUAGUAACAUUGUGUCAACAGCAGUUGGGUCACCUUUCACCAUCAUCGGAUAGUUUUGUCCAAGGAAGAGCGAGUUUUCUCCAAGACUAUCAAUUCUGUACCAGGGAGAAGGAGUUGGCGCUAGCACACUAGUAUCCAUCCCGAAUACCAUGCAAUGGGUGUUGGAAUAGGUCCGGAGAGUGCGACCAUGGGAGACUACACCUGCUUCCUUAGCAGUAACAUCAUCAGUGGGCUGUAUACACACAAGAAGAGGUGAUCCAUCGGAAUUAGUUGCCAGGCGCCACAGAGUAUAUGGGCGCUACUCGUCCUCAUGCUUGUGAUCAUCACCAUCGUCAUCUCCCCCUUGGUUAUAAAAUUUUUCAAGUAUAGGUGGUGGGAUGUUCACAAGACCUUGGAAACACAAGAAGAAGCUUAAUUAGUAAAGGGAAACUUGCUAACCCGCAUGCAUGUGGAUGAAACAAUUAUAAUUACGCUGGAAGACAAACGUACCGAAACUACGAGGAUCCCAUGCAAAACAGUGCCACGAGUGGUGGCAGCAAACACAAGGCCCUCGUAUUGAAUUGCAUCACAGUACUCAUCCAUGUACAGAAACUGAUUUUUGAGCAAUAUCCAUCGAGUCAAACCACCAAGGACGGCAACAAGCUUGUUGAAGAUAGAAUUCCAAGAGCGGUUGGGAACUUGACAAAUUGCUAUCUUCCGUAGAAGAUAAUCACCAUGAUCGUAUUUGAACGUGCGUACAAUACCGGUGUGCUCAACCUCUGGGCAGUCUGCUGAGAUUUUUGGAAGUGGAACCCGGUCACGAGUGUACACAUUCACAAGUUCCCACUCGCAGUUGGACCCAAUGUAAACAACCCAAUCUCCAUUUGCGCCUGCCCAAGCCUUGCCCUCAAGCGAUGGCAUCUUAACAUCAUACGUAUCAUUAUCAAGCGGCAUCAACUUGCACAGGCUGAGGCCUCCGUCGUGCCGGCGCCAGUCAUCAGGGUCACGGCGAAGAAGAUAGGGGAGAUCAAACCGCUCCUUGACUCUUGGGUUCCUUGUAAUGAUGUUAUUAGUGGUCUUCACUGGGAUGAAAUGAGCUACCUUGGUCAAACGAUCGACUACAACCCAUAUCGAGUCAUAGCCUGAACGAGUCCUGGGCAAUCCUGUGAUAAAAUCCAUGCCUAUCUUAUCCCACUUCAAUUCGGGUAUCGACAAUGGUUGUAGCAAUCCUGCUGGCUUCUGAUGCUCUGCCUUCACUCUUUGACAUACAUCACAAACUGCUACAAACUCCGCAAUAUCCUUCUUCAUUCCGGUCCACCAAAAACUAUCCUUCAAAUCCAGAUACAUUUUGGUAUAUCCUGGGUGAAUCAAAUACGGCGAAUCAUGGGCCUCCUGCAGAAUCAACUUCCUGAUCUCUGGGUCAUUAGGCACAUAUACGCGGACCUCAAACCAUAAGGUAUCAUGCUCAUCCUCACGAGAUCCCUUAGCUUUUCCUUUGCUCAUCUUCUCCUUUAUCUCGGCAAUCUCCUUGUCGGUCUUCUGANNNNNNNNNNNNNNNNNNNNNNNNNNNNNNNNNNNNNNNNNNNNNNNNNNNNNNNNNNNNNNNNNNNNNNNNNNNNNNNNNNNNNNNNNNNNNNNNNNNNUUUUUCUUUUAAAAUUUCACUUGUUUAAUUAACUACAUUCAAAGAACUUUCUACAGUUUUUUUAGAGAAGGACAACCUAUGAUUUGCUAGCUAGCUAGUUAGGUAUUUUAACACAACAUUAAUAGCAAGGAGAAGGAGAUGAACUGUUCACAGCCAGGCAGGCAGGUCUCGCUGGCUUUUUCCUGUAUCAUUGGCUACUCCUACUUCCUUCUCUGACAAAGACCUGUUCUGAAUCUGUAAUACUGAUUCAUAGUGAUGAUGGUGGAUCGACUAUAGACCUUUACUAAUCCAUGUACAACAAAAAUUACGACGUACAAGGUUAAAAAUCCAAGGGUCAAACCCUAGUCAAUCGAUCCGGCAAAUUCUACACGAAUCUGGCAUGACAUCCAGUGCGAUUAACAGGAGUUUCAAUUAUAAUUAGCCUCCACGAAGCUGCAUGGAGGAGGAUGUAAUCGUGUUUUGUUUCCUUGUCUGAAACUUCACUUUCCAUCAAUCUGAAAAUAAGUGGUAGAGGGUAAAGGAAUGAAAAAAAACAUAUGUAGAGGUUUUGCAACAGCUAAAGCCACACACACAAAAACAUUAGUAUGCUAGCUGGUCCAUGGCAUUGACAAGUCAAUUGAUUCGAUGCAACCAUAUGUAUGAAUAAUAUGGCCAAGGAUAAGAGAAGUAAAAAAUAUAAAUAUACUGAUAGGCUCUUCUUUUGUUCACGUGUGCAUGUUGCAUGAGCCAAGUGUAUCGGCAUUAUGGCUUGUGUUUGCUACAUGACGGCGAUAGGCCAGUUCCCAUUCAGUCAGGCAUGAUAUGUCCUAAAUUCAUUUAUUCACGUAUCGUGUAGAAGGAGAACUUAUUUCAUUUAUGUUUUGUAGGUUCCUUGCUUACAAGAAAAUAGAAAAAAAGACACUUAUAUAAUUACCAGACAAAAUCAACUGUAUAUUGCUCUAUCUUUCCUCUUUGUUCUGUAUCAGUAUCAACAAUCAUAGUACUAAUAGCUUCCUAUACUGGUGGUAAUAAAUUCAAUAAAAGAAACCUAGAAACUAUAUGAACAACUUGAAACAAUAUGUACAAACUUAGAUUAACCAACGAAUGAAAUACAAAAGAAGUGUUCAUGUCUACGUGGAGUGAAUCAAUCAAGCCACGCAAAGCCCUAAUACUUUGUUUUCUAUUAGUAACUCAUAUGACAAUACAACCGCUCCAUAUGAAAAGGUAAUACGAUGAGUCAUCUAUGCUUAUCCAUCUUACAUAUAUAUUGUACAAAAAAUAUAAAGUUAGUUCAGAAAAAAUUGUGUAUAGAACAAUCUUCGCAUUAAUAGUGUGAUCUAUCUCAAUGACACACACAAAAUUACAAACUUUGUUCCCUUAAGUAUGCCAAUCUGGAUACGCCUAACAACAUAUAGAACAUGACAAACUAACUCGGAGCAAGGGACAAAAUCUAGAUCAAUGUUUGAAGUGUAAAGUGAAUACGAUGAGUCAUUUGUCGUUAUCAAGCAUUCCAUACACCUAGAUGAUAUGUGCAAGAACAAUCAACUAUGAAGAACAAUCCAAAAUCACACUAGUAAGUAGUGCAAUGAAACACAACAUACCAAAUUAUUAGGUAAUCGAUAAGCUUAAGAGCAGUUUUUCAAGAAGCGAGUGUAAAGAUUACAAACUUAGUUCCCUUAAGUUAUGCCAAUCUGGAUAUACCUAACAACAUGCAGAACAGCACAAGCUAAAUCAGAAAGACGGACAAAAUCUAGAUCAAUAUUUGAAGUGUAAAGUGAAUACGAUGAGUCAUUAUGCGUUAUCAAGCAUUUGAUACACCCAGAUGAUAUGAGAAAGAACAAUCAACUAUGAUGAACAAUCCAAAGUCACGCUAGUAAGUAGUGCCAUCAAACACAACAUACAAAAUUAUUAGGUCGAUAAGCUUAAGAGCACUUUUUCAAGAAACGAGUGUGAAGAUCAAAAACAAAUGUGCGAUGCCAGCUAUAAAUACGACUACACCAUGAGGGUCUCUUCCAUCAUCUAACCUUCAAGGACCUAGAGUUGAAACACCAAAGCCAAGUGAGCAAUAGUAAACACAAAUCAAACAUGAAGACCUUCAUCAUAUUUGUCCUCCUUGCCAUGGCGAUGAACAUCGCCAGUGCCAGUAGGCUGCUAAGCCCUAGAGGCAAGGAAUUGCAUACUCCACAAGAACAAUUCCCCCAACAACAACAAUUCCCCCAACCACAACAAUUCCCCCAACAACAACAAUUAACGCAACAACAAUUCCCCCGGCCACAACAAUCCCCUGAACAACAAUAAUUCCCCCAACAACAAUUCCCCCAGCAACCACCACAACAAUUCCCCCAACAACAAUUUCCAAUACCAUACCCACCCCAGCAAUCACAAGAACCUUCCCCAUACCAACAAUAUCCACAACAAGAACCAUCUGGGAGCGACGUUAUAAGUAUCAGUGGCCUAUGAAAUGAAGAGAUGUAAUACUAGACGGGUGAAUCAUCGUUGUUAGUCAAUGGAGCAUAAUGUAACGAUGAUAAAUAAAGUGAUGUGCACCAUCAUGUGUAACCCCGACCUGUACUAGUCCAAACAUGGGAAUAAAAGACAAAUAAGUUCUUUUCUGAAGCACAUUGCUCGCAAUUGUUACAUUCAUGCCCUAUUUUGAUUUCCAUCCCUAACUACAAUCUCAAUGUUAUGUGACGUCUACUUAUUUAGGAAGUGUAGUAUUAUAUGAACAUAACAUAAUUAACAUGUACGAAACUUGUUUCAAAUUGAAGUACUAUUAAUUCGGGAGUAAGGACUAAUUACAAUUUAACAUUUCAAUGGAGAGUGCUACUUGUAGACUGUGUUGUUAAUUCCCCAAGGAGGAGAGGAUGAUGAAGUAUAGUACAAAUAAGUAUUUCACUAAGUUAAGAAUCAAGGUUAUCAAUCCAGUAGGUGAACCACACAAAACCUUGUUAACAGCACCUGCACACACAAAAGCAAACACUGACACCUAACGCAAAUAAGAGGCUUGUCAAUCCUCGUAGACGUUAUUUGCAAUGAUUAAUUCUCGUAGUGAUAGAUGGACAUGAGUUGUCAUUUGAUAACGUGAUCACAUCAUUAGGAGAAUGAUGUGAUUUACAAGACCCAAACUAUGAAUGUAGCAUAUGAUCUUGUCAAGUUUAUUGCUAUCGUUUUCUGCAUGUCAAUUAUAUGUUCCUAUGACCAUGAGAUCAUGCAAGUCACUGACACCGGAGGAGUGCCUUGUGCGUAUCAAACAUCACAACGUAACUGGGUGACUAUAAAGAUGCUCUACAGGUGUCUCCAAGGGUGUCUAUUGAGUUGGCAUGGAUCGAGACUGGGAUUUGUCACUCCGUAUGAUGGAGAGGUAUCUCAGGGCCCACUCGGUAAUACAACAUCACAAUAAGCUUGCAAUCAAUGUGACUAAGAAGUUAGCCACGGGAUCUUGUAUUACGAAAUAGAGAGACUUGCCGGUAACGAGAUUGCACUAGGUAUGGAGAUACCAAUGAUCGAAUCUCAGGCAAGUAACAUACCAAUGGAAAAAGGGAACUUCAUACGGGAUUGCCUGAAACCUUGACAUCGAGGUUCGACUGAUAAAGAUCUUCGUAGAAUAUGUAGGAACCAACAUGGGCAUCCAGGUCAUGUUAUUGGUCAUUGACCGUAGAGGUGUAUCGGUCAUGUGUGCAUAGUUCUCGAACCCGCAGGGUCUACACACUUAACGUUUGUUGACGAUAUAAGUAUAGUUGGGUCAUAUGGUGGUUACCGAAGNNNNNNNNNNNNNNNNNNNNNNNNNNNNNNNNNNNNNNNNNNNNNNNNNNNNNNNNNNNNNNNNNNNNNNNNNNNNNNNNNNNNNNNNNNNNNNNNNNNNGUCCUCUUCAGGUACUUCAGGAUAUUCUUGACCGCUGUCCAGUGUUCCAUGCCGGGAUUACUUUGGUACCUUCCUACCAAACUUACGGCAAGGUUUACAUCAGGUCUGGUACACAGCAUGGCAUACAUAAUAGACCCUAUGGCCGAGGCAUAGGGGAUGACACUCAUCUUUUCUCUAUCUUCUGCCGUGGUCGGGCAUUGAGCCGUGCUCAAUUGCACACCUUGCAAUACAGGCAAGAACCCCUUCUUGGACUGAUCCAUAUUGAACUUCUUCAAUAUCUUGUCAAGGUAUGUACUCUGUGAAAGACCAAUGAGGCGUCUUGAUCUAUCUCUAUAGAUCUUGAUGCCUAAUAUAUAAGCAGCUUCUCCAAGGUCCUUCAUUGAAAAACACUUAUUCAAAUAUGCCUUUAUACUUUCCAAGAAUUCUAUAUCAUUUCCCAUCAAUAAUAUGUCAUCCACAUAUAAUAUGAGAAAUGCUACAGAGCUCCCACUCACUUUCUUGUAAACACAGGCUUCUCCAUAAGUCUGUGUAAACCCAAACGCUUUGAUCAUCUCAUCAAAGCGAAUGUUCCAACUCCGAGAUGCUUGCACCAGCCCAUAGAUUGAGCGCUGGAGCUUGCAUACUUUGUUAGCAUUCUUAGGAUCGACAAAACCUUCCGGCUGCAUCAUAUACAACUCUUCCUUAAGGAAGCCAUUAAGGAAUGUCGUUUUGACGUCCAUCUGCCAUAUCUCAUAAUCAUAGUAUGCGGCAAUUUCUAACAUGAUUUGGACGAACUUCAGCUUCGCUACGGGUGAUAAAGUCUCAUCGUAGUCAACCCCUUGAACUUGUCGAUAACCCUUAGCGACAAGUCGAGCUUUGUAGAUGGUCACAUUACCAUCCGCGUCCGUCUUUUUCUUAAAGAUCCAUUUGUUUUCUAUGGCUCGCCGAUCAUCGGGCAAGUCAGUCAAAGUCCAUACUUCAUUUUCAUACAUGGAUCCUAUCUCGGAUUUCAUGGCUUCUAGCCAUUUGUCGGAAUCCGGGCCCGCCAUCGCUUCUUCAUAGUUCGAAGGUUCACCGUUGUCUAAUAACAUGAUUUCCAGGACAGGGUUGCCGUACCACUCUGGUGCGGAACGUGUCCUUGUGGACCUACGAAGUUCAGUAACUUGAUCCGAAGCUUCAUGAUCAUCAUCAUUAACUUCCUCCCCAGUCGGUGUAGGCACCACAGGAACAUUUUCCCGCGCUGCGCUACUUUCCGGUUCGGAAGAGGUGACUAUCACCUCAUCAAGUUCCACUUUCCUCCCACUCAAUUCUUUCGAGAGAAACUCCUUCUCCAGAAAGGACCCGUUCUUGGCAACGAAGAUCUUGCCUUCGGAUCUGAGGUAGAAGGUAUACCCAAUGGUUUCCUUAGGGUAUCCUAUGAAGACGCAUUUCUCCGACUUGGGUUCGAGCUUUUCAGGUUGAAGUUUCUUGACAUAAGCAUCGCAUCCCCAAACCUUUAGAAACGACAGCUUAGGUUUCUUCCCAAACCAUAAUUCAUAUGGUGUCGUCUCAACGGAUUUCGGCGGAGCCCUAUUUAAAGUGAAUGCGGCAGUCUCUAAAGCAUAGCCCCAAAAUGAGAGCGGUAAAUCGGUAAGAGACAUCAUAGGUCGCACCAUAUCCAAUAGAGUGCGAUUACGACGUUCGAACACACCAUUUCGCUGAGGUGUUCCAGGCGGCGUGAGCUGUGAAACUAUUCCACAUUUUCUUAAAUGUGCACCAAAUUCGUGACUUAAAGAUUCUCCACCACGAUCUGAUCGUAAGAAUUUUAUUCUCCUGUCACGUUGAUUCUCAACCUCACUCUAAAAUUCCUUGAACUUUUCAAAGGUUUCAGACUUGUGUUUCAUUAGGUAGACAUACCCAUAUCUACUUAAAUCAUCAGUGAGAGUGAGAACAUAACGAUAUCCUCCGCGAGCCUCAACACUCAUUGGACCGCACACAUCGGUAUGUAUGAUUUCCAAUAAGUUGGUUGCUCGCUCCAUUGUUCCGGAGAACGGAGUCUUGGUCAUCUUACCCAUGAGGCAUGGUUCGCACGUGUCAAAUGAUUCGUAAUCAAGAGACUCCAAAAGUCGAUCUGCAUGGAGCUUCUUCAUGCGCUUGACACCAGUGUGACCAAGGAGGCAGUGCCACAGAUAUGUGGGACUAUCGUUAUCAACUUUACAUCUUUUGGUAUUCACACUAUGAACAUGUGUAACAUCACGUUCGAGAUUCAUCAAGAAUAAACCAUUGACCAGCGGGGCAUGACCAUAAAACAUAUCUCUCAAAUAAAUAGAACAACCAUUAUUCUCGGAUUUAAAUGAGUAGCCAUCUCGAAUUAAAUGAGAUCCAGAUACAAUGUUCAUGCUCAAAGCUGGCACUAAAUAACAAUUAUUGAGGUUUAAAACUAAUCCCGUGGGUAGAUGCAGAGGUAGCGUGCUGACGGCGAUCACAUCGACCUUGGAACCAUUCCCGCUCGUCCUUCGCCAGUCUCCGUUUAUUCCGUAGUUCCUGUUUUGAGUUACAAAUAUGAGCAACCGCACUGGUAUCAAAUACCCAGGAGCUACUACGAGUACUGGUAAGGUACACAUCAAUUACAUGUAUAUCACAUAUACCUUUGGUGUUGCCGGCCUUCUUUUCCGCUAAGUAUUUGGGGCAGUUCCGCUUCCAGUGACCACUUCCCUUGCAAUAAAAGCACUCAGUUUCAGGCUUGGGUCCAUUCUUUGACUUCUUCCUAGUAACUGGUUUACCGGGUGCGGCAACUCCCUUACCGUCCUUCUUGAAGUUCUUCUUACCCUUGCCCUUCUUGAAGUUAGUGGUUUUAUUCACCAUCAACACUUGAUGUUCUUUUCUGAUUUCCACCUCCGCUGAUUUCAGCAUCGAAUAUACCUCAGGAAUGGUCUUUUCCAUCCCCUGCAUAUUGUAGUUCAUCACAAAGCUCUUGAAGCUUGGUGGAAGCGACUGAAGGAUUCUGUCAAUGACCGCGUCAUCCGGGAGAUUAACUCCCGGCUGAGUCAAGCGGUUGUGCAACCCAGACAUUCUGAGUAUGUGCUCACUUACAGAACUAUUUUCCUCCAUUUUACAGCUGAAGAACUUGUCGGGGACUUCAUAUCUCUCGACCCGGGCAUGAGCUUGGAAAACCAAUUUCAGCUCCUCGAACAUCUCAUAUGCUCCAUGUUUCUCAAAACGCUUUUGGAGACCCAGUUCUAAGCUGUAAAGCAUGCCGCACUGAACGAGGGAGUAAUCAUCAGCACGCUGCUGCUAAGCGUUCAUAACGUCUUGGUUUUGUGGGAUUGGUGCUUCACCUAGCGGUGCUUCUAGGACAUAAUCUUUCUUGGCUACUAUGAGGAUGAUCCUCAGGUUCCGGACCCAGUCCGUAUAGUUGCUGCCAUCAUCUUUCAGCUUGGUUUUCUCUAGGAACGCGUUGAAAUUGAGGACAACGUUGGCCAUUUGAUCUACAAGACAUAGUGUAAAGAUUUUAGACUAAGUUCAUGAUAAUUAAGUUCAUAUAAUCAAAUUAUUUAAUGAACUCCCACUCAGAUAGACAUCCCUCUAGUCAUCUAAGUGAUACAUGAUCCGAAUUUAACUAGGCCGUGUCCGAUCAUCACGUGAGACGGACUAGUCAAGAUCGGUGAACAUCUCCAUGUUGAUCGUAUCUUCUAUACGACUCAUGCUCGACCUUUCGGUCCUCCGUGUUCCGAGGCCAUGUCUGUACAUGCUAGGCUUGUCAAGUCAACCUAAGUGUAUUGCNNNNNNNNNNNNNNNNNNNNNNNNNNNNNNNNNNNNNNNNNNNNNNNNNNNNNNNNNNNNNNNNNNNNNNNNNNNNNNNNNNNNNNNNNNNNNNNNNNNNCAUCUGACGUUGGUGCGGAGGGAUACUACACUGCCGCCUACUCCACCGUCACCCGAGAGCCUUUCCACCAUCAGCGCCUGGUUCUGCAUGCUGAUGGGCUGGACCGAGCUAACAGAGCUCUUCGCCACGAGUUGUACACCACUCGUCAGCACCUUUACAGGGCUCUGACGCGGUUGCACCCCUUUGUCCGGUCUGGACAGCUGCCGCGUUCUGCGAUCUACCCAGCCAGGACCGUGAUGCCCCACGGUGUCGGAUGGCCAGAGGUGGGAGGCUACGCUCCCGCACUUGGUCCUCUUCUGCCACCUGAGCGUCGGGUUCUACACCAGAGUAUCCGCGGCCCCCAGGCCACUGACGUGGAGGACUAUCCGUUGCCUCACUACCAGCUGUCAGGUUACAGCUACCUUCACAGUACCUCCUGGGACUGAUGUAGUCUUGCUCAUUAGUUUUAGAUGCACUCGCGAGCCUGCGUGCCGCCUAUGAUGACUUAGUCUAUGUACGGAACUCUAUGUCCGACCCCUUUUGUAAGUUAUGCCGACUAUCUAUGUGGUAUCUGUCGUGCUCCUUCCAUUAUGCAUGUUUCAUCAUGAAUGACUCUUGUCUAUGCAAAUUCUCAAUACUGAACUACCCCUGUUAUAUAUUAGCAGGAUGGUUAGACCAGCUGGUCGUGGUCGUGGUGGCAAUUUCCCACCACCGCCUGAGUACAUGGCUGGUAUGAUCCAACAACUUGAGAUGAAUCGCCAGUUCAUGGAAAACAUGAUGGCUCAGUUUCCUCGCCCCAAUAUGAACCAGCAUCCAAACACAACCACUCUGCAGGAUUUCAUACGCCUCAACCCAAGUGUGUACCGCAGCUCAACCCAGCCGCUGGAUGCUGAUGACUGGCUCCGUGACAUCACCUAUGAGAUGGAGUCUGCUGAUGUAGCCCCUGCCAGCUAUGUCACUUUUGCUUCCUUCUUCCUGAAGGGACCCGCAGCUCAAUGGUGGGACAGCCACAGGCGUACUCUGCCAGUUGGAACAAUCAUCACCUGGCCAGACUUUCAGGCUGCCUUCCGUGCCCGCUUCAUUCCUCAGGGAAUCAUGGACAGGAAGAAGCGUGAGUUUCGCAACCUCACCCAAGGCAACAAGACUGUUGAAGCUUAUCAGCGGGAGUUUCUGGACUUAUCCCGCUAUGCUGAAGAAGACGUUGCAACCGAUGCUCGCAGACAGGAGAAGUUCCGUGAAGGCCUUCAAGCUGACAUCAAGCUCACACUUCUAGUGCACGACUUUGCUGAUUUCGCCACCUUGGUGAAUAAGGCCAUCAAUGUUGAGACUGGUCUUCAAGAACACCAUAGCUCUCAAAGGCGCAACCGUGACACGGGCUCAUCUUCGGGCCCGCCCUCGCAGAAGCGUAAGAUAUGGAUCCCGAACAGCAUGUACCGUCCAAAUGCACCAGCUCCAAGGCAGUCGUACGCUGCACCUCGUCCGCCUACUGCUCCAACUAGGCUGCCAAGGCUUCCAGCUCCGCCACCCCAAGCUCCUGUUCCCACUCCCAAUAAUGGCCUGUGCUACAAGUGUGGUCAACCAGGUCACCGUGCUAGGGAUUGCAUUCAGAAUCAGAAUCAACUGGCCCUUCCAGCCGCUGGCCGUGGAAACAACCAGGCCCGCAACAACAAUGCCAAGUCUUAUGGCCGUGUUCAUGCCAACCACAUUGAUCUGAAUGAAGCUCGAGACCAGCCUGCUACUGUGAUGGGUACACUCCUCGUAAAUUCAGUACCAGCAUCUGUUUUAUUUGAUACAGGAGCAUCGCAUUCAUUCAUGUCAGAAGAUUUUGCAUUCAUGCAUGGCAUUAAAAGUGAAGACAUGAACGCUUCUCUAUUAGUGCACACCCCUGCGGGCCAAUGUCGAACCUCCAUGAUUUGCAACGACGUCCCUGUAGAAAUUGAAGGACUGGAAUUCCUUGUCUCUCCCAUCGUACUGAAGUCCUGUAGCAUUGAUCUCAUUCUGGGAAUGGAUUGGUUAAAGGCGCAUACUGCUUCUAUCGUUUGCGCCACUAAGACCGUCCAUCUGCUACACCCUUCUGAUGAAAUAAUUAGCUAUGAUGCUCAUCUGGUUCGGAAUGCCGAGGCCAGGCUUUAUGCCUUAAACGCAUUGAACGUUGCACCACUCAAGGGCAUUGAAAACAUUCCCGUCGUGCGUGAAUUCCUAGACGUCUUUCCUGAAGAACUCCCAGGGAUUCCCCCUGCUAGAGCUGUCGAAUUCGUCAUCGACUUGAAACCAGGCACCACUCCUAUAGCCAAGAGACCCUACAAGAUGCCGCCGCAUGAACUCCUUGAGCUUAAGGAGGAAAUCGAUAAAUCUCUUCAAAGUGGUUUCAUUCGCCCAAGUUGCUCUCCUUGGGGAGCACCUUCUCUCUUUGUCAAGAAGAAAGAUGGGACAAACCGAUUGGUCCAAGACUACCGUCCUAUAAAUCAAGCUACCAUUCAGAAUAAGUAUCCUCUUCCUCGGAUCAAUGAUCUGUAUGAUCAGUUGGAUGGUUCAUCGGUGUUCUCUAAACUCGACUUGAGGUUGGGUUACCACCAGAUCCGUGUUCGUGAGGAAGAUAUCCCCAAGACCGCCUUUGUGACUCGUUAUGGUUCAUACGAGUACACCGUCAUGUCUUUCGGCUUAACCAAUGCUCCAGCCACCUUCUCUCGCCUGAUGAACUAUAUAUUCAUGGAUUACCUCGACAAGUUCGUCGUGGUUUAUCUGGAUGAUAUUCUAGUAUUUUCCAAGAACGAAGAGGAACAUGCUGAACAUCUUCGCCUCGUGCUGGAAAAGCUACGAGAGCAUCAACUUUAUGCCAAGUUCUCCAAAUGUGAAUUCUGGCUUCCCGAAGUAACCUAUCUUGGGCAUGUCAUCUCUAAGGAUGGUAUUGCCGUCAACCCUGAACGAGUUCAGGCUAUUCUCGAUUGGACUCCUCCGAAGAACGUUAAGCAAGUCAGAAGUUUUCUCGGUCUCGCCAGCUACUGCCGUCGAUUCGUCAAGAACUUCUCCAAGAUUGCCAGGCCUCUGACUAACCUAUUGCAUAAGGGCGUCAAGUUCCAAUGGACAGAUAAAUGUCAGGAAAGUUUCCAGGCACUCAAGGACAAGUUGACUUCUGCCCCAGUACUAGCUCCUCCUGAUACUAUGAAGGACUUCGUCAUUUACUGCGACGCUUCCCGUCAAGGACUAGGCUGUGUCCUAAUGCAAGAGCGCACAGUGGUUGCUUAUGCCUCUCGGCAAUUGCGCCCUCACGAGGAGAACUACCCAGUUCACGACCUCGAACUUGCUGCUGUCAUUCAUGCGCUAAAACAGUGGCGACAUUACCUACUCGGUAAUCGCUGCGAGAUCUUCACUGACCACCAAAGUCUGAAGUAUCUGUUUACUCAGCCAGACCUGAACCUCCGUCAACAGAGAUGGAUGGAGACUGUUGCAGACUUUGAUUUGGGUAUUUCCUAUACACCAGGCAAGGCUAAUGUAAUGGCUGAUGCCUUGAGCCGCAAGUCUUACUGCAACCACCUCCAGGUUCACAAAGUCCAGCCCUCACUUGUUGAAGAAUUCAGAAAGCUAAACCUCCAUAUUGUACCUCCGGGUGCACUCGCUCCCCCUCCUCCGGAGUUCCGCAAGAUGAAUCUCCGUGUUGUUUCCCAGGGUUCCCUCUAUACCCUGGCUGUUGAACCCGAUCUCGUGGGCACCAUAAAGACAAUGCAGGGAUUUGACUCUGAAGUCUACAAGAUUAAGCAAGANNNNNNNNNNNNNNNNNNNNNNNNNNNNNNNNNNNNNNNNNNNNNNNNNNNNNNNNNNNNNNNNNNNNNNNNNNNNNNNNNNNNNNNNNNNNNNNNNNNNUUGGGCUUCCGCUUGAAGGUUGCCGAGUACACGUCGUGUAGCAACGAUAAGUGGUGGGAGCGUGUGUGACGAAGUACACCCCUGCAGGGUAUGAAACUAUUCGAAUAGCCGCGUCCGCGGUAAAGGACUACUUGGUCGCUUAUGCAGUUCAUAGACAAGUAAAUGGAUACUAUUACAAGCCUCAAGAUAAGUGUGAGUACCGCGGAUGGCUCUCUCGUGGGAUGACGAGGGAGGAUCCACGGUGGAGUAUUGAGAUGGUGAUUAGUGGACUCGUGUGCGAAAACUAUUUCACAAGUGGUGUCUCGUAGGAUAGCUUAGCCAAGAGUCAAAGCUGGCUUGCUGCAAUAACUCCACUACCUUCUUGAGAAUGAACAUGUAUAGUAGGAUCUGUUGUAAGACUUGCUGAGUACCUUUGUACUCAUGUUGCUUCAAUUACUGUUUUCAGACGACAACACCGCCCCUUCCGAUGGGUUCUACGUAGAACUCGACAACGACGAGUGACUUUCCACCCAGGUGGUGAUCUAGGCUUGUGAAGGGCCUACGUAGAUAGACAGGCUUCGUCAAGCCUUCUUUCUUUCUAGCGUCUGUACCCAGACAGUUUGCUUCCGCAUGUGCUUGUAUGAUUGUAUGACUUGAGUGUCGGGUCAUGUGACCCCUAUCUGUAUGAACAAGUUAUGUAAGGCUCUCCGGAGCCCUUUAAAUAAAGUACUUUGAGUUGUAGAGUUUUGUUGUGAUGCCAUGUUGUAUUUGCACAUAUCGAGCAUAUUGUGUGUAUGAUUGAAAUGCUUGGUAUGUGUGGGAUCCUACAAUCUAGUUGUUUAUCCUUGGCAGCCUCUCUUAAUGGGAAAUGUUGUCUAGUGCCUCUUUGAGCCAUAGUAGUCCGCUACAGCCCGGUUCACCGGAGUCCUGCUAGCCCAGCACUACUGCUCUGGACACUUGACUGGCCGGCAUGUGAUUCAUAUCGUUCCUGUGUCUGUCCCUUCGGGGAAAUGUCAUGCGGUGACAUCUGGAGUCCUGCCUAGCCUGCUACAGCCCGGGUUCCCGGAGUCCUGUUAGCCCAGUGCUACAGCCCGGAUUCACACGAUGCUGACCGACACGUUCGAUAUUGAUUCAUGUAUGCCUGUCCCCAUACGUUAGUGCCGCUUUGGGUUCACGACUAGCCAUGUCCGCCCGGGUUCUCUGUCAUAUGGAUGCUAGCGACAUUGUCAUAUACGUGAGCCAAAAGGCGCAAACGGUCCCGGGCCAUGGUAAGGCGACACCCGUGGGAGUAUCGUGCGUGAGGCCGCAAUGUGAUAUGAGGUGUUACAGGCUAGAUCGGUGUGACUUGGAAUCGGGGUCCUGACAGCGUUGGCAUCAGAGCCGGACUGCCUGUAGGUGCGCUAAGCCAAACUGGUCGAUGUCGAGUCUAGAAAUGCUGUAGUUAUAUGUAGGGGAAUUGAUUGUGGGAGGGAACGUAAGGAGCUUUUACUCCUUACCUUAUGCCCUCUGAUCUGAGUCAUUCUCUUCUCAUUCUACGUGGGUUAAGGACUAGGCUCUCUUCUGUCUAUCAGGUUCACGUGUUACUAAUCCGUAGUAACUUAUAGGAUUGUUGGUUCCAUGCUUCGGUUCAGUUUCUACUACACUUGGUAUGCUGUCAGUUGAACCAGAACCUUGAUAUGAUGUUGUUGAGUGGUAUUGCAAAACUGUUGCAAAUGUCUCAAAUCCUUUUCCAAGCAUUUACAGCCGUUAUGCUGUCAGAUCUAUCAGAUCUCACUCUCGUAAGUGACCGUGAAGGGAUUGCAACCCCUUUAUCGUGUUGGUUGCGAGUUUCUUAUUUGUUUGUGUAGGUGCGUGGGACUUGUGCAUGAUCUCCUACUGGAUUGAUACCUAGGUUCUCAAAAACUAAGGGAAAUACUUACGCUACUUUACUGCAUCAACCCUUUCCUCUUCAAGGGAAAACCAACGCAGUGCUCAAGAGGUAGGAAGGCGCUCGGGCACCACAUGGAGGCAUUCUUCAUCGCACGCGUCCCUCAUGAGGGCACAAGGCAUGGAGUGCGUGGUGCUCAGGAGUUCAUCACCAAGGCGACCGAGGAGCUUCAAGAGGCAAGAGCCAUGCGCGGCGUCCGUAGCCCAGCACCUGGCGCAGCUCCUUGUCCUGGCGAGGACGACGAGCUGCGCGUAAGCGUCAACAUCCCAGGGCUCAACAGGGCCGCAUCCCAAGAGCGCUUCUGGCCUUCGCGCGUUGGUCGGUGCGAGGGUCCACCUCACAGCUAAGUUCGCAUGCCAUUGGGCUUGGCAAUCGCGGCUGUUACCUUCCAACGUUGCCUGCGGAGCGUACUGGCGGCUCAGGAGGCCAGGCAUCAGGCGGUCCAGGCAGAGAUGGCGACGGUCCUUCAUGAGCCUCCCAAGCCCCAGUGCCUCACGAGGCUCAGGACCCAGGCGGCUCGUGAGGAGAGGCUUCUUCGACAUGCGUCUUUGGCUGCUCCAACCUCUCUCCAGCAACGGUGCCAGGUGACUCUUUCCGGUUCAUUCAGUUGGGGGUGCCCCUCGGGCUGCGUUAUCCCCAAGUCGCACGGGCCUGUCCCUGCGACAUGUAUCCUUUGCAUCUUUAAUCUACUCUAUUGGGGGCGCCCCUCGGGCUGCAUUAUCCCCAGGCUGCAUGGGUACCUCCCUGCGGCAUGUAUCGUUCUCGCAUUAACCAGAACUAGCUUGCCUCCUCCCAUGAGUUACUUUAUGAUUAUCGCCUACUUGCCUGUUGCCCUUCGCGGCCUCCCACGUUGCUGACCGGUCUCCUGCUCAUCCCGCAUCGGGGGCUCCACAUGCUGGCACGGCGCUUGUGCUCGGGUCCGUCCCUGCAACGCUGACAAACCUGAGUGAUCGAGCCCUGGCUCGCGGCCUGCCCUAUGCACGUAACCUCACCGGAUCCUUAGUGCCUUCAUCUUCUUGCGAAAAGAUCAGCGGCAGGACAGCAAACGCGAUUAUGAGCCGUAUUCUCCUCUCGAACUAACCCGCAGGAAUCUCUGGAGUUUAGCUACGGGUGGCCCCGCCGGCUACCCUCCUUUCGUACGAUUCGCUUGCGCGUUAAAGGGGGGCUCCUGAGCAUCGCGCCUCAGGAGCUCCUACUGACUCUCUAGCCCUCACCCCCUGGCCUUGACAACGGCAUCAUGACCUGGCAUGCCAGUGGCGGCUGAGCUUCGCUCGAGGGUCGGGACCCGAGGACGCAGAGCACUUAGAUGAGCGAGGAAGGAGGAAGCCGGCGUGAGCCUCGCCUGGUAACACCGUCGCUCAAGCACAAGUCAGACGCUGCACAGGGAACCACCUCGGGCUCGAUAAGAUAAGUCACAUAUUCGUGUUAGCGCUACGCUGCAGUUGGGAAUUUUCGACUCUCGCAACCUUGCUCCGGCAAUGCUGCCUUCCUUUUUAGCCUUCAGGAAGCUACUUGCACGCCAAAGGGGACCUCUUGAGCAUCACGCCUCAGGAGCUCUUACCGGACCUUGGUCCGCUCACCUCCUGGCCUUGAUCACGGCAUCGCAACCUGGCAUACCAGCGAUGGCUGAAGCUUGCCUGGGGACUGGGACAUGCCGACGUAGAGCGCUAAGCUGCCGCGAGGACAAAAAGGGGGGACAGUGCCGAAGCAAGACAUGCAACCACAAUAUUAUAGUAGGAAUAAUGAACAUCGGAGCAAAAGCAUUACAGUUUCUUUACACACACCCACGGGGUUCGUCUCGAUUCAUCGCAGGGAACAAAAGAAGGAAAAACCCNNNNNNNNNNNNNNNNNNNNNNNNNNNNNNNNNNNNNNNNNNNNNNNNNNNNNNNNNNNNNNNNNNNNNNNNNNNNNNNNNNNNNNNNNNNNNNNNNNNNUCUGCUUCGCUGGGUCUAGGUAUCUGCUUAUCUUCCCCGCGUAACCGUAAGGAAGUUUUACUCCUAGGAGGCAGGUGAAAAACUGCUCGAUCUCCUCCUGACUUAGAGUGAAGCACGCGGGAGGGUAGUCAUUUCCGGUCUUCUUGGCCUUUUUGCCUUUGCGACGACUUUCUGUGUCCUGCUUCGCCUCAUCAUCAUCAUCAUCAUCAUCAUAUAUAGCGUGAAGCUCCUGCCUGAUGCCCAUUGAUUUCAAGUCUGCCCUUGCUUUCGGCCCAUCUUUGGUCCUCUCUGGCAUGUUGAGCAGGGUACCAAGAAGACUCUCGCACACGUUCUUCGUGAUAUGCAUGACAUCAAGGCUGUGAGGCACACGGUGGAUCUUCCAGUACGGCAAGUCCCAGAAAACAGACCUCGUUUUCCAUACCUUCAGCAGCGGCUCUGGCGCCUUUCGCUUCUUUCCCGGCUCCGGCGCCUUUUGCUUCUUUCCCGGCAGUGGGCAGUCUUUCCAAUUUUUCAACAGCUUGUCUAUUUCCUCGCCGCUCCUCGUACACGGGCGUUUUCGGGGUUCGGUUUCACCAUCGAACAGAUCCUUGCGUUUCCUCCACGGGUCAUCGUCGCGAAGCCACCUUCGAUGUCCCAUGAACACGGUUUUCGAAGACUCGGGAUCUCUAUCUAGCUGGCGAUACGUUGUGUCAUCCAUGCACCUUACGCAUCCAGAAAAUCCAUGGACUACCUGCCCCGCAAGAUAUCCGUAACCGAGAUAGUCGUGCACCGUCGUGAGCAGUGCGGCUCUCAUAGGGAAAUAUUCUUUCUCUGCGGCGUCCCACGUAUUGGCUGGCGUUUUCCACAGCGUGUCAAGCUCCUCUUUCAGCAGCCCCAGAUACAGAUUGAUGUCGUUCCCUGGUUGUUUCGGCCCUUCAAUUAGCAUACUCAUGUGAAUGUACUUCCUCUUCAUGCACAACCAGGGGGGAAGGUUGUACAUCCACACAAACACAGGCCAGGUGCUAUGUGUGCUUCUCUGGCUGCCAAACGGAUUGACUCCAUCGGUGCUCGCGCCCAGCACGAUGUUCCUUGGAUCGUUCCCAAAUUCUGGGUAUUCGAAGUUCAAAGCUUGCCACUGGCUCGCAUCCUUAGGGUGACUCAGCAUCUUGUCUUUUUUAUCUAUCUCCGGAUCAUUUGUGUCAUCUUCUCGCUUCUUCUCCUCCCUAUCCGCGUGCCAACGCAGGAGCUUUGCUACCUUAGGAUCCGCGAAAUACCGCUGCAGACGAGGAGUGAUCGGAAAGUACCACACCACUUUUCGAGGAGCUAUCUUCCUCUUCUUGUAUCGAGUGACACCGCACACCGGACAUAUGGUAGACUCCGCGUGCUCGUCCCGAUAAAUGAUGCAACUGUUCAUGCACACAUGGUAUUUCACGUGCGGUAAAUCCAGAGGACACACGAUUUUCUUCGCCUCCUCCAAACUGGUCGGGCACUUGUUCCCCUUGGGAAGACGUUCGUGCCAGAAUGACAUGUUCUAGUCGAAGCAUGCGUCGGUCAUUUUGUGUUUUACCUUCAUCUCCAGAGCCAUGAGCGUUACUUUCAGGCGGGUAUCCUCGGGCCUGCAUCCUUCAUACAAUGGAGUAACCGCGUCUAACUCAAGUUGAUCCAUCUUGGCUUUCUCUCGGGCGGCAGCUCUUGCGUUAUCCGUCUGCUUGAGAAGCAGCUCUUGAAUAUGAGGGUCCUGCACCCAGCCCAUCGAUGGUCCAGCGUCGUCUGCUCCGCCGGCAUCAUCAUCAUGUCCUGCAUCUUCUACAUGAUGACUGUGUACAGCAUCACCGUCGUGAUCAUCUCCUGGGGAUUCUUCGUCUUCUCGCCCCCCCGAGCCGCGGUGGUUGUCUUGCUGCCCUUCCUCAUUUCUUGCCCGGCCCCCAUGGAUGACUUCAUAGUCAUCUUCAUCACCUUGCCACCGAUAGCCAUCCAUGAAACCACGCAAGAGCAGGUGGUCCCUCACCUGCCCGGAAUCCGGAUCCACAAUAAGGCUAUUCAGCUUGCAUCUUCGACACGGACAUCUUAUCUCCGUCUCGUUCUUUUGAAGCAUCUCGGCCUUCGCGGACCUCAAAAACCUAUUCACGAUGCCUUCGAUCAUCGUGCGGACCAUGGUCGCCUGCGGGGUAGAGCAAAACGAUAUUUUAGAACCAAGAAAAAAUUUGGCAUGACUUUCCCUAAAAAUAGGACCAAAAAGAAUGCUUAAUGCCAAAAUUCUCGCCGAAACGGAAAUGAAUCAACAUUCCGGCAAAAUAUUGGCAACUAUCGCAUUUCAAAUACCGGUACACCUCCAAACACAAACACAUAUGCAACACCACAAACAUAUGCAACACCACGAACAUACAUAUAUCUAGCUAGGCCAUAAAAAAUGCAUGUGCACAUUGUUGUAGGGAGAACAACAUAAAUAUAGCUUCCCCCCUUACUUACCCAUCAAAACAAGGUAACUUAACCACUUAAUUUGAAUGAAUCUAUGGUGGAAAUGAGGUGAAAAAGAGGAGGCACCCGAGACAAGGAGGAGGCGGUGGAGAGAAUGAAGUGGGGAGAAAGUGAGUGUGGGAGGAGAGGCUGUCCAAAAUAUCUUGUUGCUGCCCACUUACUAAUGCCGCACCAGCAACAAAUGCGCCAUUAGUAAUCCAGGUUACUAAUGGUGCACCCUCUGGUGGUGCGCCAUUAGUAGUUUUGCAAAAAAAAACACACUAAUGGCGCACACUGCCACGGUGCGCCAUUACUAGUUUGAACUAGUAAUGGCGCACCGCGUGCGAGUGCACCAUUAGUACUUUUGCAAACAAAGGAAUAAAAACAAUAAUAAAAAAAUAACAUUAGUGGCGCACCUUCUGGCUGGUGCGCCAUUACUAGUUACAACUAGUAAUGGCGCACCACCAGUGGAUGCGUCAUUAGUAUGUUUGGACAGGCGCACUAAUUCAAAAAAAAAUUUGGUACUAAUGGCGCACCGUGGGCAGGGUGCGCCAUUAGUAGUUUCAACACUAAUGGCGCAUCAGAAGGUGGUCCACAUGUCUGGUGCACCAUUAGUGUCAAUUCCAUCUAUAGCCCUUUUCCUAGUAGUGCAAAGCUCUCUCCUCGCCGGCCAGGAAAAACAGAGCAGUGGGAGUGCUCUGCUCGCGGGCGAGGGGUAUAUAUAGGUAAUUAAUUGGUCCCGGUUGGUGGCACGAACCGGGACUAAAGGGCAGCCUUUGGUCCCGGUUCAAGCCACCAACCAGGACCAAUGGUGGUGGCCAAGAGCGAGGCACAUUGGUCCCGGUUCGUCCCACCAACCGGGACCAAAAGGUCCAGACGAACCGGGACCAACGGCCCACGUGGCCCGGCCGUCCCCCGGGGCUCACGAACCGGGUCCAAUGCCCCCAUGGGUCCCGGUUCUGGAUUGAACCGGGACUAAUGGGCUGACCUGGCCUGGACCAUUGCCCCCUUUUCUACUAGUGCUGGAAGACACACUGUUGAGAUAUAGAUAUUGCAUGUGUAUUUCUUGUACAACAAGCCCUCCUCCUUCCUUGUAUAGUUGAGGACGUGGCCCUCCUAUGUACCUGUAUAUACGUGCAUAUUGCACCCGAUGAAUAUAUCGUGAGCUGCAUAAUUCUCUACAUGGUAUCAGCCUUAGUCCGAUCCCUCCUACCCUAGUGCGUCGCCGUUGCUUCCAAGCCGCCGCCGCUUCACAAGCUACGCCCGCGUCACCGAGUUCUAGCCGCCACCGUAGCCUCCCCCACNNNNNNNNNNNNNNNNNNNNNNNNNNNNNNNNNNNNNNNNNNNNNNNNNNNNNNNNNNNNNNNNNNNNNNNNNNNNNNNNNNNNNNNNNNNNNNNNNNNNCUUUUAAGAAAUGAUAGCUUAGGUUUCUCUAAACCAUAGUUCAUACGGUGUCAUCUCAUCAGAAUUACGUGGUGCCCUAUUUAAAGUGAAUGUGGUUGUCUCUAAUGCCCAACCCAUAAAACUAUUGUGGUAAUUCAAUGAGAGACAUCAUGGUAUGCAUCAUAUCCAAUAGGGUGCAGUUAUGAUGUUCGGACACACCAUCACACUAUGGUGUUCCAGGCUGUAUUAGUUGUGAAACAAUUUCCACAAUGUCUUAAUUCUGUGCCAAACUCAUAAUUCAGAUAUUCAUCUCUAUGAUCAUAUCAUAGAUCUUUUAUCCUCUUGUCACGACGAUCUUUCAACUUCACCCUGAAAUUACUUGAACCGUUCAAUAAUUCAGACUCGUGAUUCAUCAAGUAAAUAUACUCAACAUCUACUCAAAUCGUCUAUGAAGUAAGAACAUAACGACAUCCACUACACGCCUCAGCACUCAUUGGACUGCACACAUCAAAAUGUAUUACUUCCAACAAGUUGCUUUCUAGUUCCAUUUUACUGAAACCGAGGCUUUCAGUCAUCUUGCCCAUGUGGUAUGAUUUGCAUGUCUCAAGUGAUUCAAGAUCAAGUGAGUCCAAACGGUCCAUUUGCAUGGAGUUUCUUCAUGCAUAAACACCAAUAGACAUGGUUCGCAUGUCUCAAACUUUUCAAAAACGAGUGAGCCCAAAGAUCCAUCAACAUGGAGCUUCUUCAUGUGUUUUAUACCGAUAUGACUUAAGUGGCAGUGCCACAGGUAGGUGGUACUAUCAUUACUAUCUUAUACCUUUUGGCAUGAACAUGUGUAUCACUACGAUCGAGAUUCAAUAAACUAUUCAUUUUAGGUGCAAGACCAUUGAAGGUAUUAUUCAAAUAAAUAGAGUAACUAUUAUUCUCUUUAAAUGAAUAACCGUAUUGCGAUAGACAUAAUCCAAUCAUGUCUAUGCUCAACGCAAACACCAAUCUCGAUGGUAGAGGGAGCGUGCGAUGCUUGAUCAUAUCAACAUUGGAAACACUUCCAACACAUAUCGUCAGCUCACCUUUAGCUAGUCUCCGUUCAUUCCGUAGCCUUUUGUUUCGAGUUACUAACACUUAGCAACCGAACCGGUAUCUAAUACCCUGGUGCUACUAGGACUACUAGUAAAGUACACAUCAACACAAUGUAUAUCCAAUAUACUUCUAUCGACCUUGCCAGCCUUCUCAUCUACCAAGUAUCUAGGGUAAUUCUGCUCCAGUGGCUGUUCCCCUCAUUACAGAAGCACUUAGUCUCGGGUUUGGGUUCAACCUUGGGUUUCUUCACUAGAGCAGCAGGUGUUUUGCCGUUUCAUGAAGCAUCCCUUUUGCCCUUGCCCUCCUUGAAACUAGUGGUUUCACAAACCAUCAACAAUUGAUGCUCCUUCUUGAUUUCUACUUUCGCGGUGUCAAACAUCGCAAAUAUUUCAAGGAUCAUCAUAUAUGUCCCAGAUACAUUAUAGUUCAUCACAAAGCUCUAGCAGCUUGGUGGCAAUGACUUUGGAGAAACAUCACUAUCUCAUAUGGAAGAUCAACUCCCACUCGAUUCAAAUGAUUGUUGUACUCAGACAAUCUGAGCACAAGCUCAACAAUUGAGCUUUUCUCCCUUAGUUUGCAGGCUAAGAAAAUCGUCGGAGGUCUUAUACCUCUUGACGUGGGAACGAGCCUGAAAUCCCAAUUUCAGCCCUCGAAACAUCUCAUAUGUUUCGCGACGUUUCAAAACGUCUUCGGUGCCUCAACUCUAAACCGUUUAACUAGACUAUCACGUAGUUAUCAAAACGUGUAUGUCAGAUGUUCGCAACAUCCAUAGACAAUGUUCGAGGUUUAGCACACUGAGCGGUGCAUUAAGGACAUAAGCCUUCUAUGAAGCAAUGAGGACAAUCCUCAGUUUACGGACCUAGUCCGCAUAAUUGCUACUAUUAACUUUCAACUAAUUUUUCUCUAGGAACAUAUCUAAACAGUAGAACUAAAGCGCGAGCUACGACAUAAUUUGCGAAGACCUUUUGACUAUGUUCAGGAUAAUUAAGUUCAUCUUAUGAACUCCCACUCAGAUAGACAUCCCUCCAAUCAUCUAAGUGAUUACAUGAUCCGAGUCAACUAGGCCGUGUCCGAUCAUCACGUGAGACGGACUAGUCAUCAUCGGUGAACAUCUUCAUGUUGAUCGUAUCUACCAUACGACUCAUGCUCGACCUUUCGGUCUCUUGUGUUCCGAGGCCAUGUCUAUACAUGCUAGGCUCGUCAAGUUAACCCUAAGUGUUUUGCAUGUGUAAAAUUGUCUUACACCCGUUGUAUGUGAACGUAAGGAUCUAUCACACCCGAUCAUCACGUGGUGCUUCGAAACGACGAACUUUAGCAACGGUGCAUAGUUAGGGGAGAACACAUUCUUGAAAUUGUAAUGAGGUAUCAUCUUAUUUAUUACCGUCAUUCUAAGCAGAUAAGAUGUAUAAACAUGAUAAACAUCACAUGCAAUCAAAUAAUAGUGAUAUGAUAUGGCCAAUAUCAUAUAGCUCCUUUGAUCUCCAUCUUGGGGCUCCAUGAUCAUCUUGUCACCGACAUGACACCAUGAUCUCCAUCAUCAUGAUCUCUAUCAUCGUGUCUUCAUGACGUUGUCUCGUCAACUAUUACUUCUACUACUAUAGCUAACGGUUAGCAAUAAAGUAAAGUAAUUACAUGACGUUUAUGUUGACACGCAGGUCAUAAAUAAAUUAAGACAACUCCUAUGGCUCCUGCCGGUUGUCAUACUCAUCGACAUGCAAGUCGUGAUUCCUAUUACAAGAACAUGAUCAAUCUCAUACAUCACAUAUAUCAUUCAUCACAUCCUUUUGGCCAUAUCACAUCACAUAGCAUACCCUGCAAAAACAAGUUAGACGUCCUCUAAUUGUUGUUUGCAUGUUUUACGUGGCUGCUAUGGGUUUCUAGCAAGAACGUUUCUUACCUACGCAAAACCACAACGUGAUAUGCCAAUUGCUAUUUACCCUUCAUAAGGACCCUUUUCAUCGAAUCCGACCCGACUAAAGCGGGAGAGACAGACACCCGCCAGCCACCUUAUGCAAGUAGUGCAUGUUUGUCGGUGGAACCGGUCUCACGUAAGCAUACAUGUAAGGUUGGUCCGGGCCGCUUCAUCCCACAAUACCGUCGAAUCAAGAUAAGGCUAGUAAUGGCAAGCAUAUUGAACAAAGUCAACGCCCACAACUUCUUUGUGUUCUACUCGUGCAUAGAAUCUACGCAUAGACCUAGCUCAUGAUGCCACUGUUGGGGAACGUAGCAGAAAUUCAAAAUUUUCCUACGUGUCACCAAGAUCUAUCUAUGGAGAAACCAGCAACGAGGGGAAGGAGAGUGCAUCUACAUACCCUUGUAGAUCGCUAAGCGGAAGCGUUCAAGUGAACGGGGUUGAUGGAGUCGUACUCGUCGUGAUCCAAAUCACCGAUGACCAAGUGCCGAACGCACGGCACCUCCGCGUUCAACACACGUACAGCCUGGUGACGUCUCCCAUGCCUUGAUCCAGCAAGGAGAGAGGGAGAGGUUGAGGAAGACUCCAUCCAGCAGCAGCACAACGGCGUGGUGGUGGUGGAGGAGCGUGGCAAUCCUGCAGGGCUUCGCCAAGCACCACGGGAGAGGAGAAGGACUUGGGAGAGGGGAGGGAUGAACCAAAGGCAAAGGUAUGGCUGCCCUCCCACCCCCACACAUAUAUAUAGGGGCAAGGGAGAGGGGGGGGGGGNNNNNNNNNNNNNNNNNNNNNNNNNNNNNNNNNNNNNNNNNNNNNNNNNNNNNNNNNNNNNNNNNNNNNNNNNNNNNNNNNNNNNNNNNNNNNNNNNNNNCGACCCCCCCUCGUGUUGAAGUUAUCGGGAGAGGGGUAUAUCGACGACGACAGACCCGAUAAAACAUAAGAAAACGAAGAAGAAACAAAAAGAGGAGAAGAAGAAAAGGAAUAGAGGAGAAGAUCGAAGAAAAAAAGAAGAAAAAAAAAGAGGAGAAGAAGAAAGGAAUAGAGGAGAGAAGAAGAAUUUUCUAUUUUUUUCUUCUUCUCUUCUUUUUCUUCUUUUUUCCUCUUCUUAUUUAUUUCUCCUCUUCUUCCUCUCCUCUUCUUCUCCUUUCUUCCUCUUCUUAUUUUCCUUUUUCCUCUCAUUCAUAAAAAAAUGUUCAAAUAGAAAAUUUCGAAAAAAAAGUAAAGGUUUUGCCUAAUGCAUUGUUCAUAUGAAUAUACAAACAUUUGCAUAUUCUACAAUAAUUAAUAUCACCAAAAAAAUCUAUGAACAGAAAAAAAA